Molecule: long non-coding RNA, 59154 nt
Filed under: Malus domestica (apple)
Lineage: Eukaryota; Viridiplantae; Streptophyta; Magnoliopsida; Rosales; Rosaceae
Description: long non-coding RNA (MDOM_LNC018670)
Source: RNAcentral
GAUGAGAGGGUGGCCCCGUGGGUUUUCUGGGAAAGCUUUGGGUUUUUGGAUUUUUGCAGAUUUUGCAGAUUCACGGUGGAGGUGAAAAAAUGAAAGAGAACCGACAUAGUUUUUUGUGUCGUUUCCCACAGACGGCGCCAAAUGUUGAUGCACAAAACCGAAGGUCUUGGAACAACGUAAAUCUGACCGUGAAUUUGCAAGAAAUGUAAAUAACACAAGAUGUAUCGUGGUUCACCUCAAGGUUUGGGCUAUGUCCACACUGAUAUUGUAUUUAUCUGAGAGGUGAGGGAGAGAAUGUGAGAGCCUCUGUAAUGAGAGUGAGGCUUUGACAAGGGGUGAGAGGGCCUAGGAAUUGGCCUCUUCCAAUUGUGAGGGUGAGGAGUCCUUUUAUAGAAUAAGGGCUCCUCACUUAUUACAUAUCUGCCCCUUCCUUUAUUACAUAAUUACAUUUAAGUCCCCCGAGUAUUUAUACGAGAUCUAAAUACGGAGGCCCUAAGUAUGGUACAAACAAGUUCCAUUCUCAUUCAAAAGGAUGAUAAUGUCAAACGGCUUGUGUACUACUCUAGCAAGGCCUUACAAGAUGCAGAGACACGAUACUCCAACAUUGAGAAAUUGGCUCUAGCAUUGGUCAUGUAUGCUCGAAAACUUCGCCCUCACUUCCAAGCACACUCCAUCAUCGUGCUUACCAAUCAUCCUCUUCGACAGAUACUCCAAAGUCCUGACACUUUGGGGUGAAUGAUAAAUUGAGCGAUAGCAUUGGGUGCGUUUGACAUCUCCUACCAACCAAAGCCAGCUGAGAAGGGCCAAGCAGUGCCGGACAUCGUCGCCGACUUCACAUAUCCUGUUAACAUUGUUUCUACAACUAAAGAAGUUGUUUCAUUACCCUUGGAUGCUCAGAAAAUAGAACCAAUAGCCCUAGCAUGGAGUCUAUAUGUUGAUGGCUCAUCCAACCAACAGGUUUGUGGAGCAAGACUAGUCCUUACGACCCCUGAUAAAGUGGCGAUGGAGUAUGCUAUUCGUUUCAAAUUCAAGGCAUCGAACAAUGAGGCCGAAUAUGAAGCCCUCCUAGCAGGCUUACAUUUGGCCAAACACCUUGGGGUUAAACGAUUUGAUAUCUUCAGUGACUCCUAAUUGGUGGUUAACUAGGUCACCAACAACUUUGACGCUAAUGAUAGCUCCGUGGCAGCAUAUCUAGCAUAAACACAAUUGUUGCUCAAGCACUUCCACUACCAGAUCACCUAUAUUCCUCAAGCGGCAAACAGUUAUGCAGAUGCUUUGGGUUGCCACACCUCAGCAGUGGAAGACAAGAUUGGGAGAAAAAUUCAGGUCAAAUUGUUGGAUUAUCCCGAUUUAUAGAUUCCUUGCUCAUGGCACCCUUCCAAAUGACAAAGUCCAAGCUAAGCAGAUUCGAUACAAGGCUAACCGUUACUUGAUCAUUAAUGACGAACUCUACAAGCAGGGUUUUAACGUACCAUACCUAAGAUGCCUUACGCCCGCAGAGGUGGAAACUGUCCUUCGGGAAAUAAAUGAUGGAGUCUGCGGAAAUCAUGCUGGAUCUCGAUCCCUAGCACACAAGGCUUUUCGCUAAGGAUAUUACUGGCCAAAUCUCCACCAACAUGCCAUCAGAAUAUCCCUCUCAUGUGAUAAGUGUCAAUGCUACGUAACUAUUCCUUACUCCCUUCCCGAGCUGCUCACUCCUAUGAUCAGCCCUUGGCCCUUGGCCCAAUAGGGACUUGAUUUGAUCAGCCCAAUGCUUGCAGGGAAGGGCAAGGUUUACUAUGCAAUCAUUGCAGUUUACUACUUCACAAAGUGGGCCGAAGUAGAACCCUUGGCAACCAUUAAUAAGGCAAAAAUAAAAGACUUCAUGUGGAGGAACAUCCUUUGCAGAUUAGGCAUUCCCAAUGCGAUAGUCACUGACAACGAACGACAGUUCGAUAACAAUAAGUUCAAGAUGUUCUUCUCUAAGUUCAACAUUAACUUAUGUUUUGCCUUCCUAGCUCAUCCCCAGUCUAAUGGAUAAGUUAAAGCCAUCAACAAAAUAAUCAAGCGAACUUUGAAAACCAGCUUGGACAAGACUAAAAUUUGUUGGCCAGAAUUUGUACCCUAAGUUCUUUGGUUAUAUCGCACUUCGUAUCAGACAUCAACUGAAGAAACCCUAUUCUCACUUGCUUUUGGUACAAAGGCAGUUGUCCAACUUGAGCUUGAGCAAGCAACGUUCCAAGUCCAAAACUACGUGCAAAGCGAAAAUGACAAACAACUUACCCUCAACUUAGAUCUAGUCGAGGAACACAGAAACCAAGCUCACUUGAGGAAUGUCGCCUACAAGCAGCGCAUCUCUAACUACUAUGACUGAAGGGUCAAACCUCGCUCUUUCAAAGUGGGGGACUAGGUAUUAAAGAAAAGAUUACUCUGUGACAGAGUCCCGAGUGAAAGAACACUUAGUCUAAACUGGGAUGGACCGUUUGAAGUUGUUGGCAUUAGUCACCCUGGCUCCUACAAACUUAGAAGCUCCAAUGGCAAAACCCUUGGCCAUCCAUGGAACGCUGAUCACUUGAAGUACUAUUACAAGUAAACUCACAUUGUACAAGUGUUAAGCUUCAGCCGUUCGACAUCCUAUGUAACAAAGACUAUUUGGCAUGAAUUCAAUAAAGAGGUGAUUUAGACAAGUCGGUCCUAAUCCUCUUACAUUCCUAGCAAUGAAACACUCAGGUUCAAAGCUUCAACAUGAAUGCUUCCAACAUGAAACAAAGUCUAAGUAUAUGUCAACAAGACUAUACAAAUAAACAAAUAGCUUCAUAGUAUAUUCGUUCGAUCAUACAUUCCAACACAUUCAUACAUAAGCCAACUGUGCUUCGAAAGCGUUCAACAUACUUUGUGUCAUUUGACACUUACUACAAUGUGCCUUGACACCUUGCCCUUAUUCUCACCAACUAGGUGAUGAAAUGUGAAGAAGGAACUCAUCUUCAUGCCACCAACCAGGUGAUGAAAUGUACAACCCGUGCUCUCCUUCAUGCCACCAACCAGGUGAUGAAAUGUACAACCCGUACUCUAAUAUUAUUUGGCAACUUGCCACUCAUGCCACCAACCAGGUGAAGAAGGAACUCAUCUUCAUGCUACCAACCAGGUGAAGAAUUAACUCAUCUUCAUUCUACCAACCAGGUGAUGAAAUGUACAACCCGUACUCUCCUUAAUGCCACCAACCAGGUGAUGAAAUGUACAACACGGCCAGGUGAUGAAAUGUACAACUCGUACUCUUUUUCAUGCCACCAACCAGGUGAUGAAAUGUACAACCCAUAAUCUAAUAUCAUUUGGCAACUUGCUAUUCAUGACACCAACCAGGUGAAGAAGGAACUCAUCCUCAUACCACCGACCAAGUGAUGAAAUGUGAUGAAAGUUGAUGAAGGAACUACAACUCGUAGAAAGCUUCACACACUCUUGAUCUAGACUGUUCGAAGCAAAUUCAAUUUAUAUGGUUCAUCCAAACCUUCGACUACUACAAAGUGUGGCUUGCAUCACAAUCUCUUGCUCAAUAGUGUGGAAGAAAAAUUUGUAUAUGUUGUCUCUCCCAUAUUUUCAAAUUUCUAAUUUUCCCAAAAAAAAAAGAAAUUGGGAAAUUCAACAAAGCUUCAUCAAUGAAGGACAACUACAAAUUCUCAAAAGCUUCACACAAUCUUGAUCAAGAUAGAAAAUUAAUUCAUGGUAACCAACAAAGCUUCACCACAAAAGCUUCGCCAACAAAAGCUUUAUCAAUAGAGGACAACUACAAAUUCUCAAAAGUUUCAUACUAUCUUGAUCAAGAUAGUGUGAAGCAAAAUCAAUUCAUGGUAGCCAACAAAAGCUUCAAGUCCAAAGCUUCACCGACAAAGCUUAAACUCCAAAGCUUCAACAUAAUCAAAGGCCAAAAGUCAUGUAUACAAUGGGAAGUCACGUCACAUUGAGGGAAUGUAGUCAGAAAAUCUGUGUGAAAAUAGAGAGUAUAUCCGAUGAGGAAUUGAGGGAAUUCUCUAAGGCAUGUUAUUGCCAUCAAAACCAUGUUUUAAAUUGAUUAAAUGCGAGCUAGUGAGUUGUGACUACGAUUAAGUAUGCGCUCGAGGGUAAGGAUAGCUAAAAUCUAUGCGAGUGAUGAUCUUUGGCAUGUUAUGUUUCAUUGGAAAUCCUUGAGGCAAAUGUUGGAAAGAUUAGAGUGUGUUUUGUUUCCGUUGUUUUAUUUUGUUUGUUUCGUUUUGCUCGAGGACUACCAAAAGCUAAGUGUGGGGGAAUUUGUUAGGAGCAUAUUUAUGAGACUUAGUUAGCUUGUUUUCUUGCAUUUUCAUAGUUUGUUUGUGUUUAUUAGGUUGGAAAUUUGAGUAGUUUGAGUAGAAAUUUCUUUGUCCCACAUUGGCCAUUCCCAAAAGAUUUUAUCACUUUAUAAGGCUUUGUCCUUUAUAAAAAGUGAUUGGAGUAAUAGGCCUGGAGACUAAAAUUGGACUCACCCUUGGGGUUGGGCUUUGGGGUGUACUAAUUAAUUGGUAAUUAAUAUAUAUUUAAUUGUCAAAUGAUGGGCCUUGGGCCUUGGGGCUCUUGGGCUCUAAUAAUUAAAUUAAUUAAUUAUUUUCGGAAUUAAUUAAUUUUUAAUUUCGAAUUUAAAUUAAUUAAUUAUUUUUACCAACAGACUCAUCUUUUCAGAUGAAGUCUGAAGUGUGAAAACGCAGAAACAAAACACCUUUUUCAGCAGAUGUCUCCCAACAGAUGCAUCCCUUCCUUAUACCAGUUGCGAACAGGUAUAAUCACAUUAUAUAUACAUCCAUCUGCAUGGCAUUUAGAACACAAAAAAAAAUCAUAAAUCUUCUUCUGCAAUCAUAAACAUCCUUUCUGAGAGAACCACAUGAAUAUUCACCAGAAGUCAAUUUUCCGGUGUUGGAAUUUCUAACUUAGAUCGGUGAAUCCUGGUGAAGCAGACGUCCGUAAAACUAUAAGCACUGAGUAGGGGCGAAAUUUCUAUUUCAAGGACAUUGCGGUACGCAAGCCUCGAUCUUUUGUUACUCUGCUUAAUUAAUAUUUCAUCUUGUUGAGUCUCUGGAAUAUAUUUAUUCGUAUUUAUUAUUAGCAAAUUUAUUUUAUUGCGGAUUGUUGACAUAUAUCCAACAUAUUAUAGUGUUUUAAGCUAUUUUCGUGUGUUUGUAGGUCCAAAUAACAAAGUUGGCAAGAAAGUGCAUUUUGGAGCAUUUUGGAGCAGUUUUGGGCACUAAAUGGAUCGCACAUGUAUGGGCCAAGGUGGAUGGACGUUUUUGGAGUUCAAAAGGCUAGGAAUAUGAUAAGGAGAUGAAGAAAUUAAAUUCAAGACAAAGAAGAUAAGGAACCAGCAAGAAAGAAGGAACAUUAUCCAAACUACCUUAUCUUAUCGAAAUUGUAACUAACCUUAUCUUAUCUUAUCCUAAUCCUAUCCUAACUUAAUUCCAGCUGCAUGGGGGAUUUAUUUUCAGAUUAGGACACAUUAAGAUAGGUUUCUAGAAGCCCUUAUCCAUUCCUACAAAGGUGCCGCACCUUAUCCCUUGUUUUUCUAGGAAUCAGCCACAAAACAACCUUUCUAGAAAGCCUUAUCCCUUGUCCUACAAAUCUGGCGCUUGGACCCUUUUUAGAAGCUCUAGAACCUGUAAUCCUUUUCCCUUAGGAUUGUGCAAUCCUUUUCCCUUCAGAUUUGGGUGAACCCUAGUCCUUUUCCUUCAUGAAUUGUGCCAAAUACACAUUCCUUUCCUUCAGAAAUUUGUGGGUUUCCCUAGCCUUAUAAAUACAAACCUUUGUGCAGCAAUUAAUCGACCACCCUCUACCAUCAGACCACUACACUAUCCACCUUUUACCACAAAUUCGUCCUUAACAUCCAUUAUCCCCAAAACUACCAACCACACCUUGUGCCGCAGCAAGAAGGAGAAGGAGAGCCCUUGGACGUGCUUGCCAUUCGAGUUAGAGUUGCUGAAACAUUUUAGGUGUAAUCUUUCUUUUGCUUUCAAUGUUUAGAUUCAAUAAUCUUUGUUUUGUGAGUAUGAGGAACUAAACCCCUCUUAGCUAGAGGGAAUUUUGAAACCAUGAUUAUACUUGCAAUAUGAUUUGAUUACCUUCAGUUGUUAUUUCAUAAAUUGUGAAUUCAAUUUGCUUAACUUUUUGAUUGAUAACUUAUUCUUCUAUGUUUAUUAAGAGUGCACGCUUAGUUUUCAUGCAGGGAUUUGAAGCUAAAAUAUAAGGGAGUUUCACUUAAUAGUUACAAACUUAUAUUUACAAGUAAUGGAGGUCGCUUAUAAACGAUCGUGUUAAGUGAAUUCCUGGCAUACGUAUCAUGCGCUUUCAUAGUUACGAAUACCUUGUCAACACUUAUGAUUUUCAUAGAACUUAAUGACCUUUGAUUGUUUCUCUACUAUGCGCUUUCAUGUAGGGAACUUUUGAAGAAUAAUUUGAUUGCGAUGCGCCAUUUCCAUUCAAUUCAAUGACUUAAGGAAAAUCUGAGGGUUAAUUUAAGCGUACCUAAUUAACUUGGGGUGUUGAGGUUCAUGGUUCAUCGAAACAGCAACUGGAAAUAGUUUUGUAUGCAAGUGUGUCAAGUGUGGAGAAAGACCUUCUAGCUAGCCUAUCAUCCAUCUAAUUCACCCAGUUUCGUCUAAAAUCUGUUUAAGUCUUUCUUGUUUUGUUUUAUUUUAUUUUCGUCCAAAUCCAAUUUCCCCUUUACUUUGUUGAGAAAUAUUAGUUAGAACUUGUUUUAGAUUGUGUUUUUAAGUGUUUUGAGUCAAGGAAAACCUAAAUUUUGUCCAGAAAGUGUGUUAGUGUCAGAAACUGCUUAGUUGCUAUUUUUAGGCAGUUUUGAGUGUUUUUAGCUUACUUUGAGUCUUGUGAACUUGUUUUGAGUCUUUUGAGUCUAGCCAAACGUUUUAAGUUUAUUUUUGUGCUUUUUUUAGUUAUUUUAGAGUGUUUAGCAAUCCCUCCUAAUCCCCGGUUUAAGAACGAUCCCUACUUAUUUAUAUACUACAAUUGUCAAAGAGGGUUUAAUUUGUGUGUCAAGUUAAUUUUCACAUCAGAGCCCCAGAAAGAUGAGGCACCAGAGGGUGAUUAUUAAGAGCCUCAGUACUGGACAGAACCCCAGAAGGAUGAGGCACCGAAGGUUGAUCAUUUGGAGCUUUAUUAUGCGGUACAACCGUAGAAGACAAAGGCAAUAAAUGCCUUUGGAACAAACCCACAAACCUCUAAUGAUCAAGUAAAAUCUGACCAUCAAAUUCCUGCAGCUGGUUAAGCUUCCUCUUCAUGUUUGUAACAUAGUCAUGUGCGAGCAUGUGCAACUGCUUAUUCUCAUGCUUGAGCCCUCUGAUCUCCUGUUUGAGACUUAUCACUUCAGCCGCCAAUGAUUCAACUUGGCGGGUUCGAGGAAAUAGGCGUUGGGCCAUAUUAGACACAGAACCUACACACUGAACACUGAGAGCCAGAGAAUCCUUAACAGCCAACUCAUCAGACCGUUUGGAAAGUAGUCUGUUAUCUUUGGGAGUGAGAAGGUUCCUGGCCACCACCACAGCGAUCAUAUCAUUCUUCAUCACAGAGUCCCCAACGGUAAGAGGACCAAUAGGGGAUAAGAAGGAUGGACGCCAUAUGUUGUCUCAAGAAGGCAUGGCUGCCUCUUCACCAAAGUUCAAGUCAAAACGACGGUCGGAUGGGCCAGACAUUCUCAGAAAUGAUGAAGGAGAAAUAAUGUGCAAUAAAUCUCUGAAGUACAAAAAUAAGGGGAAAAUUCCUGCAAGCAAUAACUCUUUUAAGGUACUUCUUGCACACAAUUGGUGCCCCUAUAAAAGAAAGGGCAACAAGGCCAUUGGUUCAAAAAUCGAAGAGGCACCACUCCCCGGAUUUCGAGAAGUAGAUUUUCCUAAAAUAUGUCGACAAUCCCCACACGCAACAUCAGCUCCUCAAUUACCACAGAUAACUUUGCCAAAGAUCUCUGACAAAGUUUAGACACAUAAAUUUUGAAGGUCCAACUACCCUACCAUUACCCACAAGGGUAAAGGAAUAGCACCACUGCUUGAUAACUGGAAAGUCCCUGUGUGUGUCAACCUCCGUGCUUCGUGGCAAGGCAGACUGACAAAAAUGCCCAACCUUUACUCACAUCGAGAAAACACUCCCAACAUGAUUACUUGCUCAAAAAUCGAAUCAGCACCACUCCCCGAAUCUCGAGAACCAAACUCCCACCAGGAUUGCUUUCUCAAAAAUCGAAGAGGCACCGCUAUCCGACUCUUGAAAGCUAGACUCACAAUAGGAUUGCUUUCUUAAAAAUCGAAGAGGCACCGCUCUCUGAAUGUUGAGAGCCAAACUCCCAACAGGAUUGCUUUCUCAAAAAUCAAAGAGGCACCGCUCUUCGAAUCUCGAAUGCCAGACUCCCAACAGAAUUGCUUUCUCAAAAAUCAAAGAGGCCCCAUUCUCUGAAUCUCAGGAGCUAGGCACCCGACAAGAUUGCUUUUUCGAAAACAAAAGAGGCACCGCUCUACAAACUUCGAGAGCCAGAUUUCCUUGGUUAAAGCUUGUCUGCAAUCUUCACACGCAACAUCAACUUUCCAGAUACCACAUACCACUUUUUGAAAGUGCUUUGACAAAGUUAAAACACGUGAAUCUUACAGCUCCUACUACAUUGCUAUGACCGAGAAGGGUAAAGGAACAGCGUUACAACUCGCUGUUAGGACAAUUCCUAUAUAUGUCAACCUUCAUCCUCCACAGCCAGGCAAACCUACAAAUAAAAAAAAAAGCUCAACUUUUCUUCACAUCCGAGAGGGCAUUCUCAGCAGAGUUUUUCGAAAUACUCAGCUUAUUUUCCCCCGAUAAUACCUCUACAAACAAGCCACACCAGAGCCAUAGUAUCUCAUAUCAUCAGGGUUAAAAGCAAGAGUAUCCCAUAUCAUGCUUUUCCCCUAUCUUUUCCUUUGGCCAUGUUCUUACUUGCAAGACAAGGAGAAAGAAAGCAAUCAGUCAACACUUGGAAUCAAGCUUCCAGUCAGGAACUGACUACCUGGAAAUCCUUGCCUGAUUACUUACCUGGCAUUGCUCUCGAGUACUUAUCUUCAACAUCUUAUGCUUCCAGAAAAGAUACCACAUCUGCCUGAGCAACAGAUAUGGCAAAUGAAAAGGAUACAAGGAAGCAUGUGGAGACAAGUGCAACAGAACAUGUGCCGAUUCAUCUAUUACUUUGUCAACAGCAAAAGUAUCCUAUAUCAUUAAGGUCGAACGCACUCUUGAUUUGAUGGACUUGUUUUAAUCCUUAAAUUCUUGAGUCGACCUUAUACUCUGGAGGAAACCAGAAAACCCUCCAGCCCAGUUCAAGAAUAAGCCUGUGGAAACUUACUUCUUCAAAAGAAAAAGUAUCUCAUAACAUCUCUUCUCAUUUUUCUUCUCCUUAUCCUUCCUGCUACCUACAAGAUAGGGAGAAUGAGAACAAUCAGCCAGAACUUGAAAUCAAACUUCUGAUCUGGAAUGAUUGCUGGGAGCUCUGAUUGCUUACCUUGUUUGUCACCUCUUUCGGCGAAUCUCCUAGCUCAGUGACUUGGGGGACUCCUACUAAAUGGUUUGUAUCACGCUUGACCAAGCUGGAAACUACAAGUAAGCUUUAAGUGAAAUUGAUACAUUACCUUGUGCAUCUCUCCACCGGUUAAAUAUACCACCUUUGGAUGGAGGAAAAGUAUUUCCAGAGAAGAUGCCACAUCUACCUAUGAGACAGAUAAGGCAAGUGAAUGAAGGAUGAUUUUGUGAAAACAUGUUCAUUUGAAUAACAUCUAUAGCAUGCAAUUAACAAUUAAAAGGCGGAAUCAUGCUUGCAUGCAUUCCAAAACAAAACAUUACCCAUGAAAUUCAAAGCCUAGUAGAUUGGUGAACCAAGACUCAACUCAAAAUCAAAGUGAGUUGAAAUUUACCUUUGUAGAUUCCUCUUUGCAUAAGCAAAGGCUAAUCACCCAAAGAGAGGGCCUUCAUUCCUUGCAUCUAAAAUCUAUGGAUUUGGAUGGAUGAAAAGGUUUCUCCAAGUUCCCAAAAUUGAAACCUCUAAGUCUCCACACCAAGGAGAGAUUGGAGAAGAAAUGAGUGACCUUGGAGUAGUGGGAUUGCUAGAUGCACCCUCCAAGGGGGGCCGGCCUCCUAGAGAGAAAAGGAGAGACAUGUUCUCUCCAUUUUCUCCAAAAGAACCCUUAAUGAAUUUAGGCUAUAAAGUCCUUUAUAUAGUCACUUCAAAUAAGUGACCUAAAGAACCAAAGGCCAUUCUCUCUAACAUGGCCGGCCAUAUAGGGAAUUUGGGCUUUUGGGCCUUUGUGAAUCUUUAUUCAUUAAAUUUUCAUACAACUUAAGUCAAUGGGCUUGACGUUCGAAGCCCAUUGGGCUUUAAGGUCCAAAAAUAUCCUGAGGUCUUUAAUGAACUUAUUCGUUUGAUUAAUUAACAUAUUAAUUAAUCCUUGCCAUAAAUAAUUAAACCAUUUAAUUAUUCUUACUCAUCUCCAUUGUUUCUUCAAUCUUCACCUUACACAGUGUACGAUCCAUUAGGUUCCUUUUAGCGAGGCAGUGGGCGAUUAAAACCAUUUCACAUCGAUUGUGAAUUGAAACUUACUUUCAAUUCUCCCUUUAGUGAUUAUACACAUUUAGGGCUUCCACAAACCAUGAGUGACACCUAGCAGCAUAUCAUGGUUACCCAAGCUAAUCAGAAGAGGUGGAGAACCUAUUCAGUUUAGGAUUACAAAUGCAAUACGGUCUUUCUCUAAUACAAUACUCUUGAUCACAUUGUUUGGUUUGAUAGUUUAUUUAUUCAUGUCUACUAUCCAAUGUGAUUUGUGUGCUUAUAUGAUUACCUUGAAUGUGAUUUGGAACGACUUCCUAAAUCUCAUUCAUACUCUGGCCAGAGAUUCCAAAUCAUAUCAUAGAGUAUUCUCCCUCAAACGGUUGAAGGUUAGAGAUCCCUUGUUGCACAUUCACUUGUCUCCAUGGCUAAGUGGCUUAACCCUAACGAUGCCGUGGACACCCUCCAAAUGGAGUGAAUUUGACAUAAUCAAAGAUCAAGGACUUAACCACAAGACAACUGUGAUACCUCAGGUCAAAGGACUACUUUGCAUUAUCCCAACCAUGAGUUCUCAUGUGACAUGAAUAUGAGAACUCUUCGUUGAUCGUGUUCAGUGAACUCAUUCUCUAUUGAGCACCUACGUACUUGUCUUGAUGUCACACACACCAAUGACUCGAGACUAGUCACUCUCCCUGAGAGAAGACGCAGCACGUACUGAUCUUAACGGACUGUCAAUGCCCAAUUGGCAAUCCUAUGAUCAUGAACGUUUAGGAUGUGUCUACGAAAGAAUGGUCUCAUGAAUCUAACUUCUUUAGAUUGCAUUCUCCCAAUCACAUAUUCCUUGGACUUUAUCGUUUAAGCAUAUAACAUUUAUAUGAGACGGCUCAAACAAUAAUCUUUGCCCUUUAUAUUUAAACUAGAUUAUUUUAACAUGUGAAAUGUCCGUAAAGUAUCAUCAUAUGAUGUUCGAAGUAUGCCCACAAAGCCACUCAUUUGAUGUAAUAGCUUUUUGGAAUACUUAUUGUAUUAAACUUUUAUAUGUUUAAUGAAGGGCAAAUCUUAUUGUUAAUCACUAUUUAUUGUAUCAUGUGUUUAAGCAAUAAGGGAAUCCAAGGAAUGUAUUUGUUCUAAGAGAUAAGUGAUCUAAUGAGUUAGAUUAUCGAGACCUUUCUCUUAUGUUCAUUCCUAAAACGUUCCUAGCCAUAGGAUUGCUAAUUGGGCAUUGACAAUCCGCUAAGGCUAGUAUGUGUUAUGUUGACUCAAUCGUGAGUAUACUAGUCUCAAGUCAUUUGGUGUUGGACACUAAGACAAACACAUAGGUGCUCGAAAGAGUACUCGAGUUCACUGAACGACGAUCAAAAGAGAGUUCGAACAUACAUGUCAUGUAUGAACUCUAAGGUUGCAAUAUGCAAAGUAGUCCUUUGACCUGAGGCAUCAUCGAUGUCUAAUGAUUAGGUCCUUGAUCUUUGAUCCUGUCAACGGCAUUCCUUUGGAGUGUCCACGGCAUUGUUGGGGUCAAGCUAUCUAGUCAUGUAGGCAUAUGAAUGCACAACAAGGGAUCUCUAACCUUCCAUGGUGGAGGGAGAAUACUCUAAGAUAUGAUUCUAAAGUCUUUGGCCAAAGCAAAUGAAUAUGACUUAGGAAGUUUGUUCCAAAUCAUAUUCAAGGGAAUCAUAUAGGAAAGUAUCACAUUGGAUAGUAGACACGAAACAAACUAUCACUUAAACAAUGUGAUUAAGAGUAUUGUAUUAGAGAAGGAUCGUAUUGCAUUGUAGUUGUAACUGGAUAGGUUCUCCAACCAAUUCUACUUAGCUUGGGUAAUCAUGAUAUGCUGCUAGGCGUCACUCAUGGUUUGUGGAAGCCCUAAUGGUUAGCAAACACUAAUCAACAAAAAGGGAGAAUUGAAAUGUGGUUUCAAUUCACAAUCGAUCGUUAAGAGUAACAUCGCCCACUGCCUCGCUAAAUAGAACCUAAUGGAUCAUACACCGAGUAAGGAUGUAUGUGAAGAAAUUAAAUGAGAUGGAUAAGCAAUUAAAUGGUUUAAUUGAAGAAUGGUCAAGAUUAAUUAAUUAGUUAAUUAAUUAUACGAAAGGUUCGUAUUGGGCUUAUAUGUUGGUUUUGGGUUUCGGGGCCCAAAAGCGUUUUGGUCCACAAGGCCCAUUAUGUUUAAGUUGUAUGACAACUAAAACAAAAUGGGCAAAUUAGCCCAAUAACAAAGGAUGGCCGGCCAUUAGGGUGGAUGGGGAAAGUUUGCUUAAUUACAAGUUUGCCACUCACCAAAGAAAAGGUUAUAAAUACAACUUUAUAGCUAUCUUCUAAUUAGGGUUCUUCUUCUCCAUUUUCUUCUAAGGAGGCCGGCCACUAAGGGGAGGGACAUCUAGCAAUCUCUUCUUUCCUUAGUCAUCCAUAUCAUCUUCACAAGAUACAUCCUUGGUGAAGAGACUUAGAGACAUCAAGCUUUUGGUGUUUUGGAGAACAAAUCCUUUUUCCUCAAAUCAUCAAAGGAGCACUACAGGGAGGAAAACACAAGGAGGAUUCAAGGAGCUUGGAGGUGACUUGAAGGCCCUCCACUUGGGUGAAUCCCUUGUGUAAUCAAGGAUGAGCUUCAAGGGUAAAGAAUCACUAAAUCUUUACUUCUCUUUAAUGUUGUUAAAGAGUUUAUUUUGGUUCACCAUAUACUAGGCUUUGAAAGUCAUGGGUUUUAUGAAUUGUUUUUGGAUGCAUGCCUACUUUAAAGUGUUAAUAGCUUGCAUGUGUAUUCAAAUGUUCAUACUUGUUCUUAGCUAGGACAAAAUUUUUCCUUCAUAUGAUUGGUUUUAGGGCACAUUUCCAACAGUGAAAACGAUACCACACUUCGGUACUCAGAAGUUUCGUGAUUACUCAGUGGCUUGGAUCUUGUAAGUCCCCAACCGAGAAGAUUCCCUCACUCGGGAACUUGGGGGAGCACUGUUUGUACCAUACUUGACCAAUCUCGAAACUACUGAGCACCGAUCAACGUUAUACCAUCAAGGACCCAGAAGAGUUUCCCUCCAACCAGGAGGUCAAUCACAGCGCGACACGUGUUGACAUCAGAAGCCAAUCAUAACACGACAUGUGUCAAUGUCAAAACAAAGCUAGAAACUCUCUUCUAUAAAAGGAGAUCAUUCUCCCACAAUAUUUCCUAAUGUCAUUUGUACUAAAUCAUUCACUAGUACUCACUAAAUGAGAGUUUGAACCUAUGUACUUGUGUAAACCCUUCACAAUUAAUGAGAACUCCUCUACUCUGUGGACGUAGCCAAUCUAGGUGAACCACAUACAUCUUGUGUUUGCUUCCUUAUCUCUAUCAAUUUCCCACACUAGUGACCGGAGCAAUCUAGCGAAGGUCACAAACUUAAUACUUUCUGUUGUACCAAAGUCCUCAUUGAUUUUGUGCAUCAACAAUUUUCAAUCCACUUUACUGUACUUUACUUAUGCUCUGAUGUCACGUGUGAAAUGGAUUUAUUCCCGCUCACAGCGCACUCUUGUGUUUAAGCACUUGUAGGUUUAAAUUUAUUUACAUAUUCCACAUCACCACACUUUAUGGCUUCGUCACCUUCCAGGUGUCGACCAACACAAUUUGAUUCGGAGUUCUAGUGGAGACUUCGGGUCGGGAUGUGUCAAUUUGGUAUCAGAGCACAAGUUGUGUAGUAUUGUGUUCAUCACACGCGUGAUGUAAGCAUUCUUGAUUCUUGCCACCUCGUCGAAUACUAAAAAUGUGUUAGUUUUUCCUAAGUUUAGGCAAUUUUGUCGACUUGUUGACGUUUUAGAAGAUCAUUUCGGUGAAUGCCUCUAAAUUAUAAGGGAAGAAGUUCCCUGCCAAGGAAAGAUGUAGAUUUGGGAUAAGUUGAUGGCCUUGAAGCAGGGCUACUAUAUUGAUACUUGUGUAUCUCAGGGGGAGAAUUUCCUAUCAAUUCCACUACUAUCUAGUCAUUUCUUCCAAUCUUUUUGAGUUAGGAAACCAUUGAUAGUCUUGACUCUUUGGCAGUUCCUGUUAAUGUUUUACUUACCAGAAUCUUUACGAAGUUUUAGUUCAUUGAAAUUUCCAGAAAUGUCUCACUGUUAGUAUGAUUUGAGUGUUGAGAAAGCUGUGAAGAUCUUUUUAGUUCAUGUCGUAAAGUGGUUAGUAGUACGUUUUGAGGAUGUAUACCUUUGGUGUCAUUUCUCAAAAUUUUACUUGGGAUGCCACCAAAUGUGAGAAGUAGAAAACAGCAUUGAUCCACCUCGUUAACAUCACAUUUAUUCUCCCUAUUUCUUAUUGAACAACUCCUAUAUCAAUUUUCCUUAUGACUUUUCGAACAAGUCCUACUUUAUUGGAAGAACUUAGUUAUUAAACAUUUCAUCUUGGAAAUCUCAAACCUAUAUGCAAAGGUGAAAGAUUGAGCUUCAGGAUCGUACCUAGAUUUUGGCAACCUCCUCAGAUAACAAUUAAAAACCGUUAUCCUCUACUUUGAAUUGAUGAUCUAAUCGACCAACUUUGUAACUCAAGUUUCCUUCUGUAGUUUGAAAAAUUCAUAAUAGUCUUGUAGACGACUAUUUCACCUAUUCUAGUAACGAGAUUAAAUUCUCAUAUUAUCAACAGUCGGCUUUGCAUCAAGUUCCUUAAAUAUUACCUUUGUGUAAAUUGAUACUUCUCCUGGGAGAUGUGAUUUUGUAAAUGAUAUUCUUUUCUUUUCUCCAAAAAGGUAGUAGCGGAAGAAAGUUGGAAUUCUCACAAAGUGUUGUGAAAUUCAAGACAAUUUUUGGUCUUGUCGACCUUAUUGACAAAUUGUUAUUGAUUUUUUUUUACAAUAGUGUUUUUUCUUCACUUGUCGACCAAGGUAAAUUAGUUUGGUUUGGGAUGUUAAUUAUGAAUGAAGUUUUGACAAAUGAACUGUUGUUUCACUUUACCUUUUCUUUACACCGUUUGACGACAUUGAUCAUUUGGACAUCCAUAAUGACGUGCUCUCUGAAUGUUUCGACUGAGUUGGGUCAGCAUGAUGGAGAAUCACUUAUACUUCUAUUCAUUACUAGAGUCAAGUGUUAUUAUCUUCUUUUGAAACAUCGGAUGACACUUCUCAAUGAGAACAUCUCUAGAACCUUUACUAACCUUAGCUUUCUCAAAUACAUCUUCAUUUGAGAUAAGCUAAGAUUUCUGAUAGUGAUGAUGGAAGAACUAAAUCAACUUCUACGAUUGCACUAUCAUGUAUUAUCCCGAUGGUGCAAAUGUAAUUACUAUUUAAUGUAGAAAAAGACAUAUGUAUACUUGAACACUUUCGGCCUGUCCUAUUCUGCCUCAGUUGGAAUUUACAGGUUUUAUUUUGACGUUACUUGCAAGAAAUCAAGAAAUGGUUUGAAUAAUUGUAAUCACUUCUUGUAUAUGUAGGGAGUUGGGAAGUAUCAUCAUACACUUUCAAUACAAGGUAUCUUGUACAUGUGAAAAUGAUGAUGAUGCUUCGAUGCUUAUAGAUAGACUUGGCAAGUCAAUCCAUUUUUUUGUAUUGGUACAUAGGGACUACAUUUUAGACCACUUGGUAAAAUUCCUCAUUCAUGAGAUUAUCAGAUUUCUCAGGCGUUUAGACUAGCAUCUAUUCUAAUGGGGAUUCCAUAUUCAUCUCUUUGUGCUAGAAGGUAUUCUAGUAAAUUUUGGGUCCAUGUCUACCCUACUACACUUUGUAUUAUUUUUUAAACCAGCAAAUCGUCUAAAGGAGUUGCUAGGACAUUGACAUUUAGUCGUGAACGUUAAAUUCUCAAUCACCCAACAAAUACUCUGCUAAACGAAUCUUAAUCGUUAGUGAUUGAAUGUUCUAGAAACUACAAUUGAAGUGAGAUGUCAUAUAUUAAUUUAAAUUACCUUAUAUUCUAGAUAUGAUGGACUUGUUUGACUUUCAAAUUCUUGAUUGUUUUUAUUGAUGUAGUUUUGCUAACUCGAGGGAAAAUUCAAUAUGAACUUGCUUACUAUGGUGUUAUGAAUUGCAUUGUUGGGUUAUGUGGUGUGUAUGUCGCUACUAUAUAUCACCAUGACAUAUGUUUCAUUUCUGAAUCUUGGGAAGCUUUCUUGAAGGUCGUAUGCAUUAAGCUUUCUUGAAGGUCGUAUGCAUUAGGCUAAAUGAAAUAUUCGGACAUUGAAGGACAUAUUGCUUUUGAAUAUUUUACAGUUUUAGCCAAUCAUGGUAAGCACUUACCCUAGUUAGAGUUAUUUGUGGCUACGGUUACAUUUCUGGUUUGGCUAUGGUAUUGUUUGAGACUUGGUAUAAAGAUUUUAUGCACUCAGCAUGUUUGAAAAAAAAAUGAUUAUUGCGAACAGGUACUUUGAUGAUCGAGAUUAUGAUAUAGAAAAAUUAUGAUUAUUGUUAAUGUUACUCGUGAGGGUAGUGCGUGAGCACGAUUGAGACUUAGAUCAACGAUGUAUAUAUAUUUCCCAAUGAGGAGCAAGAUGGUAAUAUUGCACCCUAGGGAAUUUGUUACUUGCUUAUUCAGUUGUUUGUAUUGCGGGCUGCAGACUGUAAUAUCAAUAACUUAUUCGUUGGGUUCAUUAAGCAAAUAGACAAGUAGGUCAUUCUAUGUUACCAUUUGUAUUUACUUAUUUAGUUAGUUAUUCAUUGUCUGGGCUCAACCCAAAGAUACUACAUGUUCAUCUUCGGGGGUAUGUAACGCAACGAGUGCGUAGGGAAAAAAAAUCUAUGUUUAGUUUUAAUUUUAGUACAAUAACUUUAUAAUAUUAUAUAUGUAUUUUGACAGAAAGUUGUUAUACAUAUAUAUAAAUAAUUUUGACUGUAUGUUUUAUAAAAGUAGUAUAGUAUAGUAUUGUGAUAAAGGAGAAGGAAAGUAUGAGUUUGGAGGCAUGAAAGAGGAAUCAUUGCACUCCGAUUGUGACAGAAUAGUAUUCUCUUUUAUGCAACCAUUCUAACUUGAUAUCUUCCUUACAUAUCUGUUUCUCUACUGUCCUUUCACUACUUUUGUAUAACUAAUGAUUUUAAAUUUCAAGUACGAAAUUUUUUUAAGGUGGGUAGAUUGUGACAUCUCGUCCCAAAAUCUUAAGUUUUAUAAAUUUUAAAGUAGUGAUUUUAUGAAAAUGCCCUUAAACGUGAGGAUGUUUGACUUUCCUUGACCGUUCGAAGUCAAAAUUAGUGUUUCCAAAUAGAUCUUGAAGCUACGAACGCAUAGGCAAAAAUCGUUUGUGAGUUCGGAUUAUAACGGUAUAGUUACAUACGUUUGAAGUUGAUUAUUUAAAGUUAGUUAAAUAAUUUGAGUUUCCAUUUUGUGGGAAGGAAGCCAAUCAGCUUUUAGCAAGGGAAUAAAGGACCAAUCAAUUUAAAUGGAACUAAGGACCAAUUAGAAAGGAGGAAAAGUAAAAAAAAGGGAGGAAAGCCUUCAACUUUCCCCUGACCCGUACAACCCACACACCCAACCCAAACAAUUCCGAUGAAUUUUGCCAUUUCUUCCAUCGAAUCAUGACCAUACAACACCUGUAACCUCAUAUACAACCUUCCCUCUUCCAUCUUCACCCAAAUUCAUGGGUUUUUAAGUCCAAAAUCACCAAGAACAAUGCCAGAGCACCGGAGGUGUUCGAAGUCGAUUUCAUCGUUCCGGUGAGUUUCAUACCCACCACCACCCUCAAUCAACUGCCUUUGGACCUAGGAACAUGACCGAACCAGUGGUAGAGACAUUGGAACACCAAGGUAGGAGAAUCGAAGUUCACCAAUUUUAGGGUUUCGGCGGGUUUGAGUGAAAUUGGAGCCUUUCUUGGCCAAAUUGGACUUUGCCAUAGGUAUAAAACUUGCUCUACCCUUUGAGAUCUUCAUUUUUGUAAAAUUUGAGAAUUUUUGGAGAUAGUUGAAUUUUUCGGCUAAUCGGGGCGCUCGACCGCCGUGUGCGGCGGCGCGUAAGCUGAGUCAUCCCUUGACCUUUCUAAGCUAAGUUUGAUACCCUAAUUCCAUUGGUGAAGUCCGAUUGAUGAAAUCUCAUCGUUUGAACAUAGUUUUGAUAAAGACCGCUACUUGAACAUUAUGUGAAUUGAUGAUUCGACCGUUGGAUCAUCACCAACCUUUCAUACAAUAUAUUAUUUAAAGGAUAUUAGAAACUUAUGGAUUGGAAAUCUGACAUACGGAUCUUCCCGAAUUAGAUUUGUAAGUUCGUAAAAUAAAACGUUAAUCGCCACUUGAAUUGGCAAUUGGUGGAGAUCCAACUGUUGGAUCGUAAUGAAACUUUAGUAUGAUGUUUAGAAGUACAAUCUGGAUCUUUGGAGUUACGAAAUGGAAAUCCAAGAUACGGAUCUUCUGGAUUGAGUUACAUAGGGUUGUGGGCCCUACUGUUGAUUUUUGACCGAUGGUUGACUUUUGGUCAAUGGGUCUCAAAACAUUCUAGAACGUCCUUGGGAUGUGUUUUAUGUAAGUUAUGUCUUCUAUUGAUAAGAGUGCUGAGACGUGACUGUAUACUUGUUUUAGGUGGGGAUCGUUCAUGAUGUCUCGAUAUUCAUGCUAGGAAGUCGUAGUGCGGACCUUAGGUGAGUGGGUCUUUUCCUUUUUAUCGUAUAUAUAUGAUUGAUAAUUCCACAAACACUUUUAAAUUGAUUUAUGCAUUUUAUGCCAUGUCAUGUAUAUAUUUAUAUAAUCUAAAAUACUAUGAUAUGGUUGAGUUUUAGAUUGCAUUAUGGCAUAUCCAUAUACAUAUUACCUACAUAUAAUUGAUGUGAAUGCUUUGAAGUGCUAAGGUGAACGCAGGACGCACAGGUAAGUUCAGGUGAGUAAAUUGUGUUAUUUGAAACGAUUGAUUGAUGGCAUGACUAUAUUUAUGUUUUAUGCAACUCACACAUUGUCGUACAAGUUGCAAUAAUAGGCAACUCCGACAUUGUCAUACAGGUUGGAAUAGUAGACAAGUCCGACAUUGUCGUACAUGUUGCAAUAGGCAACUCCGACACUGUCGUACAAGUUGCAAUGAUAGGUAACUCCAACAUUGUUGUACAGGUCGCAAUGGGCAACUCCAAUAGUGUCGGAGAGGUUGCCUAUGAGUCGUAUAGGUUGUAUUAGGUAACUCCGACUCAUGUGUUAUCAUAGAUUGAUUUAUGAGCCGUACAAGUUGCGUUAGGCAACUCCGACUCAUGGGUUAUUAUAGAUUGAUGAGCACCUGAUUUUAUUAUGUUGUUGCCGAUAUGUAAGGAUUUUGGAUUUUUUUGGAUUUAAUGUUGAUUUACAUUUGACGUCAUACUUAUAUGUAGUAUGAUUUCUUGGGAACUAUACAGGUAGUGCAACGAGGGGUUAUAUCAUUUAGAAGGUCUUUAUUAAAGCUUUAUACUCAGGCCCACUCACUCUUAUUUUUUUUUAUCCCUCCAGGUUCUAGUAGCAAAGUUUUUGUAUCAACGAGGAUUCGUGGCAAGUCUUGGUAUUGGAGAUUACCUUCGACAGUAUGAUUUUUAAUCCACUCUACUAUACUUUACUUAUGCUCUGACGUCAUGUGUGAAAUGGGUUCAUUCCCGCUCACAGCGUACUCUCGUGUUUAGGCACUUUUAGGUUUAAAUUUAUUCACAUAUUCCACAUUACCACACUUUAUGGCUUCGUCCCCUUCCAGGUGUCGGCCAACACAACUCAAUUCAGAGCCCUAGUGAACAAUCCUGGUAGGAAUGUGUCAUUCUCAUUACGAGUAUUAAUUUGAAAAUUUGUAUUUCAGGAACUUUACUUUUGAUUCAACCGGCAUACAGUCUCUUUUUAUUUUUAUUUUUGGCGCUAAUGAACGUUAAGGGAUGACCUAUAAUAUGUAUGAUUGGGUAAUUGGAAAAGAACUAAUGAACCCAUGAAGUGGGAUGAUAGUUUCUAAUAGCCCGUAUUAAUUCGAAAACUGUAUUUUGAGCACUUUUCUUUUAAUUGAACAACAAUAUAGUUUCACAUUCUUCUAAUUUUUGGUAGAGAUGACGUUUACGGGAUGACCUAUAAGAUGUGCAGUUGGAUAAUUGAAAUAUAACGCUUAAGCCCAUCGAGUGAGAUUACGGGUUCUCAGUAUCCGUAUUAAUUCGAAAAUCUGUUUUUCCGACCCUUUUCUUUUUCUUCAAGAGUUGUAUAGUUUUGUGUUCUUUUUAUAUUGAGCAAAGAUGAUCUUUCAAGGAUAAUCUAUAAGAUGUAUAGUGAGAUUUUUGAAAUAUGUUCCAUGGGUCCAUGGAGUAUGGUGAAGUGUUCUCAUUAAAUGUAUUAAUUCGAAAAUCUAUAUUUCAGGCACUUUUCUUUUAAUUCAAGAGUCAUAUAGUUUUGUAUUCUUCUUAUUUUUGGCAGAGAUGAUCUUGAAGGGAAGAUCUAUGACAUGUACAAUUAGAUUUUUGAAAUAUAAACAAUAGACCCAUAAAGUGGGAUGAUGUGUUCUCAUUACUUGUAAUAAUUCGAAAAUCCAUAUUUUGGGCACUUUUCUUUUAAUUCAAGAGUCACAUAGUUUCCUAUUCUUUUUAUUUUUUGUAGAGGUGAUCUUUAAGUGAUGACCUAUAAGAUGUUCAAAAAUCUAACUGUACAUGUCAUAGAUCUUCCCUUCAAGAUCAUCUCUGCCAAAAAUAUAAACAAUAGACCCAUAAAGUGGGAUGAUGUGUUCUCAUUACUUGUAAUAAUUCGAAAAUCCAUAUUUUGGGCACUUUUCUUUUAAUUCAAGAGUCACAUAGUUUCCUAUUCUUUUUAUUUUUUGUAGAGGUGAUCUUUAAGUGAUGACCUAUAAGAUGUACCGUAAGAAAAUUGAAAUAUAACCCAUGGACCCAUAGAGUGGAACGAUGGGUUCUCAUUACCCGUAUUUUGGGCAAUUUUCUAAUGAUUCAACAGUCAUAUAGUUUCGUAUUACUUUUAUUUUUUGCAGAGAUGAUUUUCAAGGGAUGACCAAUCAGAUGUAUGAUUGGAUAAUUGAAAUAUAGUCCAUGAACCCCUGUAGUGGGAUGACAGUUUGUAAUUAACAGUAUUAGCUUGAAAAUGUAUUUUGAGCCCCUUUCUUUUAAUUCAAUGGUUAUACAGUUUCCUUUUUGUUUUUUUUUUUAAUUUUUGGCAGAGAUGAUCCGGAGAGGAUGACCUAUAAGAUGUACUAUUGGAUAAUUGAAAUAUAACUCAUAUAUAUCUAGUGGGAUGAUGGGUUCUCAUUAGUCGUAUGAAUUUUUAAAUCAGUAUUUCAGGCACUUUUCUUUCAAUUCAAGCGUUAUACAACUUCAUAUUCUGUAUAUUUUUGGCAGAGAUGAUCUUUAUGGGAAGACCUAUAGGAUGUACACUUGGAUAAUUGAAAUAUAACCCCUGAACCCAUGGAGUGGGAUGAUGGGUUCUCAUUACCCGUAUUAAUUUGAAAAUCAGUAUUUCGAAAACUUUACUUUUGAUUCAACCGUCAUACAAUUUCACUUUAUUUUUAUAUUUGGCGGUGAUAUCGUUAAGGGAUGACCUUACAAGAUGUAUGAUUGGAUAAUUGAAAAAAGAACUAAUGAACCCAUGGAGUGGGAUUAUAGUUUCUAAUGACCCGUAUUUGUUCAAAAACUGUAUUUUGAGCCCAUUUCGUUUAAUUGAACAACAAUAUAGUAUCACAUUUUUUUAAUUUUUGGCAGAGAUGACUUUUACGGGAUGACCUAUAAGAUGUGUAGUUGGAUAAUUGAAAUAUAACCCAUAGGCCCAUUGAGUGAGAUUACGCGUUCUCAUUACCCUUAUUAAUUCGAAAAUCUAUAUCUCCGACUCUUUUCUUUUUCUUCAAGAGUCGUAUGAUUAUGUAUUCUUUUUAUAUUGAGCAGAUAUGAUCUUUAACGGAUAACCUUUAAGAUGUAUAGUGAGAUUUUUAAAAUAUAUCCAUGGACCCAGGGAGUAUGGUGAAGUGUUCUCACUAUAUGUAAUAAUUUGAAAAAUCUAUAUUUCAGGCACUUUCAUUUUAAUUCAAGAGUCAUAUAGUUUCGUAUUCUUUUUAUUUUUUAUUGAGAGGAUCUUGAAGGGAUGGCUAAUGAGAUGUACAGUUGGAUUUUUGCAAUAUAACUCAUAGACCCAUAAAGUGGGAUGAUGUGUUCUCAUUACUCGUAUUAAUUCGAAAAUUUGUAUUUCAUGCAGUUUCUUUUAAUUCAAGAGUCAAUAUAGUCUCCCAUUCUUUUUAUUUUUUGCAGAGGCGAUCCUUAAGCGAUGACCUAUAUGAUGAGUUCUCAUUACCCGUAUUAGCUUGAAAAUCUGCAUUUUGGGUAGUUUUCAAAUGAUUCAACAGUCAUAUAGUUUUGUAUUACUUUUAUUUUUUGCAUAGAUGAUCUUUAAGGGAUGACCGAUAAGAUGUAUGAUUGGAUAAUUGAAAUAUAGUCCAUGAACCCCUGUAGUGGGAUGACAGUUUGUAAUUACCAGUAUCUGUUUGAAAAUGUAUUUUGAGCCCUUUUCUUUUAAUUCAUUGGUCAUACAGUUUCGUUUUCAUUUAAUUCUUGGUAGAGAUGAUCUGUAGAGGAUGACCUAUAAGCUGUACCAUUGGAUAAUUCAAAUAUAACUAACAAAUCCAGCAGGAUGAUGGGUUCUCGUUACCCGUAUGAAUAUUUAAAUUAGUAUUUCGGUCACUUUUCUUUCAAUUCAAGAGUCAUACAGUUUCGUAUUUCGUACAUUUUUGGCAGAGAUGAUCUUUAUAGGAAGACUUAAAAGAUGUAUAGUUGGAUAAAUGAAAUAUAACCCAUGAACCCAUGGUGUGGGAUGAUGGAUUCUCAUUACCCGUAUGAAUUUGAAAAUCUGUAUUUCGGGAACUUUACUUUUGAUUCAACUGUCAUGUAGUUUCAUUUUAUUUUUAUUUUUGGCGGUGAUGAUCAUUAUGGGAUGACUUAUAAGAUGUAAGGUUGGAUAAUUGAAAAAGAACUAACGAACCCGUGGAGGUGGGAUGAUAAUUUCUAAUUACCCGUCUAGUUCCAAAACUGUAUUUUGAACCCUUUUCUUUUAAUUGAACGGCAAUAUAGUUUCACUUUCUUUUAAUUUUUGGUAGAGAUGACUUUUACAUGAUGACCUAUAAGAUGUGUAGUUGGAUAAUUGAAAUAUAACCCAAUACCCAUCGAGUGAGAUUACAGAUUCCCAUUACCAGUAUUUAUUUGAAAAUCUGUAUUUCCAACCCUUUUCUUUUUCCUUCAAGUGUUGUAUAGUUUCGUAUUCUUUUUAUAUUGAGCAUAGAUGAUCUUUAAAGGAUAACCUAUAUGAUGUAUAGUGAGGUUUUUGAAAUAUAUCCCAUGGACUCAUGGAGUGUGGUGAAGUGUUCCCAUUACAUGUAUCAAUUCGAAAAUCUAUAUUUCGGGCUCUUUUCUUUCAAUUCAAGAGUCUAAAAGUUUUCUAUUCUUUUUAUUUUUGGCAUAGAUGAUCUUUAAAGGAUGACCUAUGAGAUGUAGACCCAUAAAGUGGGAUGAUGUUCACAUUAACCGUAUUAAUUCAAAAAUCUGUAUUUCCUGCUUUUUUCUUUCAAUUCCAGAUUCUAAAAGUUUCAUACUCUUUUCAUUUUCAGCAGAAAAGAUCUUUAAGGGAUGACUAUGAGAUGCACAGUUCUAUUUUUGAAACAUAACUCGUAGACACAUAAAGUGGGAUGAUGUUCUCAUUACCCAUGUUAAUUCGAAAAUCGUUAUUUUGGGCUCUUUUCUUUCAAUUCCAGAGUCUAAAAAUUUCAAAUUCUUUUUAUUUUUGGCAGAGAAGAUCUUUAAGGGAUGACCAAUGAGAUGUAUAGUUAGAUUUUCGAAACAUAACUCAUAGACCCAUAAAGUAUGAUUAUGUUCUCAUUAUCCGUGUUAAUUCAAAAAUCUGUAUUUUUGGCACUUUUCUUUUAAUUCAAGAGUCUAAAAGUUUCAUAUUCUUUUUAUUUUUGGCAAAGAUGAUCUUUAAGGGAUGACCAAUGAGAUGGACAGUUUGAUUUUCGAAAUAUAACUCGUAGACCCAUUAAGUGGGAUUAUGUUCCCUUUACCCGUGUUAAUUCGAAAAUCUGUAUUUUGGGCACUUUUCUUUUAAUUCAAGAGUCUAAAAGUUUUGUAGUCUUUUUUAUUUUUGGUAGAGGUGAUCUUUAAGGGAUGACCAAUGAGAUAUACAAUUAGAUUUUCGAAACAUAACUCAUAGACCCAUAAAGUGGGAUUAUGUUCUCAUUACCAGUGUUAAUUUUUUUUUUUUUUUUUGCCAGAGAUGAUAUUUAAGGGAUGACCUAUGAGAUGUACAGUUAGAUUUUUGAAAAAUAACUUGUACACCCAUAAAGUGGGAUGAUGUUCUCAUUACCUGUAUUAAUUCGACAAUUUGAAUUUCAGGUUCUUUUCUUUCAAUUCAAGAGUCUAAAAGUUUGGUAUUCCUUUUAUUUUUGACAAAAAUGAUCUUUAAGGGAUGACCAAUGAGAUGUACAAUUGGAUUUUCGAAACAUAACUCGUAGACCCAUAAAGUGGGAAGAUGUUCUCAUUAUCCGUGUUAAUUCGAAAAUCUUUUUUUUGGGCUCUUUUCUUUCAAUUCCAAAGUCUAAAAGUUUCAAAUUCUUUUUAUUUAUUUUUUUAUUUUUUUUGGCAAAGGUGAUCUUUAAGGGAUGACCUAUGACAUGUACAGUUUGAUUUCUGAAACAAAACUCGUAGACCCAUAAAGUCGGAUGAUGUUUGUUUGUACCAUACUUUGACCAAUCCCGAAACUACUGAGCAUCGAUCAACGUUAUAUUGUCAAGGACCCAGAAGAGUUUCCCUCCAACAAGGAGGCCAAUCACAACACGACACGUGUCGACAUCAUAAGCCAAUCAUAGCGCGACACAUGUCAACAUCAGAAGCCAAUCAUAACACGACACGUGUCAAUGUCAGAAUGAAACUAGGAACUUUCUUUUAUAAAUAGAGAUCAUUCUCUCACAAUAUUUCCUAAUGUCAUUUGUAAUAAAUCAUUCACUAGUACUCACUAAAGGAGAGCUUGAACCUAUGUACUUGUGUAAGCCCUUCACAAUUAAUGAGAACUCCUCUACUUCGUGGAUGUAGCCAAUCUGGGUGAACCACGUACAUCUUGUGUUUGCUUCCCUGUCUCUAUAUAUUUACAUACUUAUCCACACUAGUGACCGGAGCAAUCUAGAGAAGGUCACAAAAUUACACUUUCUGUUGUACCAAAGUCCUCACUGAUUUUGUGCAUCAACAUUUGGCGCCGUCUGUGGGAACGACACUUAUUCCCACUCUCUUCAGCUUUGUCAAGUUGGUUUCCACCAUUCGUACACUCUCUUUUGACCAGGCAUCCCUUUCCAACAUAGGGAGCGAAGGAAGCCACAACACACAGAAUGACAUCCCUCUUGCACCUGGUGCGAAGCAACGAAAGAAGGAACAAAAGAAGUUUGCUCUUCAGGCUAAAGUCGAUGAGCUGGAAGCUCAGAACAACAAGAUAGCAAUGAAGAAUGAGAUCCUCCAAGAGCAGUAUGAGAAGGUCUUCGAGAUGCUCGACGAGGCUAGAUAUACUAAAACACACGAGCUCAUCACCCCUGUGGAAGUCAAUUAUCAAUUGGGUGCCCCCCAACAUGGAGGGUCAUUUGCCCUCGACCUAGGUAUUCCUGUUGAGGAGCGAGCUACUCAUCGAAAUGGUGACCAACAUGAGACUUCUCUCAACCCAACUGCUUCGACCCGAAGCAGGAGGAGUGGAGGAAGGCACCUCCUUACAGAAGGAGUGGAAGGAUCGAAAGCCGUCUUUCACGACUGUCGAAACUUCCUAAAGCAAUGUCGAGACAAUCCCAUCCAUGUAAGCUCGAAGAUCAAUGACCCAAGGGUCUCUGAAAGACUCGGUCCCCUCCCAUGUCCCAGACUGGCUACCAAUUUGGGGAAGGGGCAACAAGUCCUAGAAAAACACGAAAGUAUAGGGGACUCAGAGAUGUUCCGACAGACAUACCUUGGAAUUCAGUACGGCGAGUCUAGGGAAAAAUCACAUGUUCUUGAUCAAACCUUCAUACUUCCAAGAGGACAUGGAGAUUUACGAAAGAAAGCUCCAGUGGUACAUGACUCCACUCAGGACCCUCUUGUUCUAUAACUCCUUAAGGAAGUAAACAAGUUGAAGGUCGAACGGCAAGCUGAGAUACCUGAUUGGAACCAACCUAGGCCUGGCCCUCUUACAAGGAAGAUCCUCGACACCCCCUCCAAGCAAAGACAAAGCAGAAGCUUGGCUUGCAACUCUAUACUAGAAAGGAGGACCUGAUUGAACACCUUAACCUAUUUGAGUCCACCAUGGCAUACCGGAUGCACACCGAUGAAGAGCGAUGUCUUCUCUUCCCCUCCACCCUCUCUGGCAGAGCUUUAAACUGGUAUUGUCGUCUUCCACCUAAGACAGUAGACUCAUUUGAGGAAUUGAGGAAACUAUUUGUUUCUCAACACAUUUUCUAGACCGAUCGCUUGCACUCUGCGGAUGACUUGUACACUAUUCGCCAGAAGCCAGACGAGUCAUUAUGUAUGUAUGCUGGGCGCUUCAGCCAUGAGUAUUCCCGUUGUGUAGAGGCAGACGAUAAGACCGCCCUCAAAGCCUUCACGGCAAGCCUACGUGAUUGUUUCUUCAAGUACAUGAUCAAUGCCAACACUUGGAAGACUUACUCUGAGGUGAUGGCACAGGCUUACAACCAUGCCUCCCUGAGGCAAUGACAUAUCAAGGGAAACCCCCACAGCCACCCCUUAUCAGUAAGUAGAGAGUGGAAGCCAGAUCUAACCAAAUGAGAAGACCUCGACCUUCCAAAUGGCAGCGGUGCCUCAUCCUGCCUUACUUAAUACUUCGCCAAGUUAACAGACAUAUCAAUCUCAUGGCAAAAGGAAAGAUUUCCAUCCUCACCAGUCCCAUUUUAGUAAAAGGAGUAAGGGACACUAUCGCGAUAACCAAGGGUAUCGCCAUGAUAAUGCCCGCCCCUAGAUAGUCCACACAGUGGGCCAAGCACGCGUCAGGACAGGCCCUACCCUGAGGUAUGAGACAUACACGCCUUUGAACGCCACAUGCGUGGCCAUUUACCCCAACAUAGCACACCUGAUACCGAAGCCAAUGCCGAGGCAGUCGGGUUUCAAGCCCACGAAGAACACGGGCACGUUUUGUUGCUACCACGAACAUGACGGCCAUAACGGCAAAAAGUGUAUCACCAUUCGUGAUCAUAUUUAAGCUUUGGUGCGUGAAGGAAAAAUUGAUCAAUUCUUCCUUCACCCUUCAAGGGAUAACUGUAACCAACGCCAAGUGAAUGUGAUAUAUUCCAUAAACAGCGGCACACCCAUAUCUGAAUCUUCCAAUAGGACCAUGAAAAACAGCGAACGAGCUUUAAGGCAUGGCCACCAAGUGUUUCACGUGGAAGAUAUCAGGGGAGCCAAGUAUUAAAAACUGAACUGGAAUCCAAUAUGUUUCUACCCUAAGGAAGGAAGAGGUAUCAUCUACCCUCACAAUGACUCACUGAUCGUGGAGGCUCACAUACCCAACUUUGAAGUAAGCCUCGCCUCAGCGGUGGAAGACAAAAUUGGGAGAAAAAUUCAGGUCGAAUUGUUGACAGCACCAAGCACCAUGGUUGCGGAAGUGUGUAACUUACAACAGGGGGAUAGUUGGAUUACCCCGAUUUAUAGAUUCCUUGCUCAUGGCACCUUUCCAAAAGACAAAGUCCAAGUUAAGCAGAUUCGAUACAAGGCUACCUGUUACUUGAUCAUUGAUGACCAACUCUACAAGCGGGGUUUUAACCUACCAUACCUAAGAUGCCUUACGUCCGUAGAGGCGAAAAUUGUCCUUCGGGAAAUACAUGAAGGAGUUUGCGAAGAUCAUGCUGGAUCUCGAUCCCUAGCACAUAAGGCUUUUCGCCAAGGAUAUUACUGGCCAACACUCUACCAAGAUGCCAUCAGAAUAUCUCGCUCAUGUGAUAAGUGUCAACGCUACACAACUAUUCCUCACUCCCCUCUCUAGCCGCUCACUCCUAUGAUCAGCCCUUGGCCCUUGGCCCAAUAGGGACUUGAUUUGAUCAGCCCAAUGCCUGCAGGGAAGGGUAAGGUCCAUUAUGCAAAUGUUGCAGUUGACUACUUCACAAAGUGGGCUGAAGUAGAAACCUUGGCAACCAUUACUGAGGCAAAAAUAGAAGACUUCGUAUGGAAGAACAUCCUUUGUAGAUUCAGCAUUCCCAAUGCGAUAGUCACUGACAACGGGCGGCAGUUCGACAAGAAUAAGUUCAGGAUGUUCUGCUCUAAGUUCAACGCUCAUCCCUAGUCUAAUGGAAAGUUGAAGCCAUCAACAAAAUAAUCAAGCGAACUUUGAAAACCAGCUUGGACAAGGCUAAAGGUUGUUGGCCAGAACUUGUACCCCUAGUUCUUUGGUCAUACUGCACUUCGUAUCAGACAUCAACAGGAGAAACCCCAUUCUCACUUGCCUUUGGAAUAAAGGUAGUUGUCCCAGUUGAGCUUAAGCAAGCAACAUUCCGAGUCCAAAACUACAUGCAAAGCGAAAAUGACAAACAACUUACCCUCAACUUAGAUCUAGUCGAGGAACACAGAAACCAGGCUCACUUGAGGAAUGUCGCCUACAAGCAGUACAUCUCCAACUACUAUGACUCAAGGGUCAAACCUCGUUCUUUCAAAGUGGGGGACUGGGUAUUGAAGAAAAGAUUACUCUGCGACAGAGUUCCGAGUGAAGGAACAUUUAGUUCAAACUGGGAUGGACUGUUUGAAGUUGUUGGCAUCAGUCGCCCUGGCUCCCACAAGCUUAGAAGCUUCGAUGGCAAGACCCUUGGCCAUCCAUGGAACGCUGAUCACUUGAAGUACUAUUACAACUAAACUCACAUUGUACAAGUGUUAAGCUUCAGCUGUUCGGCAUCCUAUGUAACGAAGACUAUUUGGCAUGAAUUCAAUAGAAAGGUGAUUUAGACAACUCGAUCCUAAUCCUCUUACAUUCCUAGCAGUGAAAUACUCAGGUUCAAAGCUUCAACAUGAAUGCUUCCAACAUGAAAUAAGGUCUAUGUCAACAAGACUAUACAAAUAAACGAACAACUUAACAGUAUAUUCAUUCAAUCAUACAUUCCAACACAUUCAUACAUAAGCCAACUGUGCUUCGAAAGGGUUCAACAUACUUUGUGUUAUUCGACACUUGCUACAAUGUGCCUCGAUACCUUGCCCUUAUUCUCACCAACCAGGUGAUGAAAUGUACAACCCAUACUCUAAUAUCAUUUGGCAACUUGCCAUUCAUGCCACCAACUAGAUGAAGAAGGAACUCAUCCUCGUGCCACAAACCAGGUGAUGAAAUGUGAUGAAAGGUGAUGAAGGAACUCACCUUCGUACCACCAACCAAGUGAUGAAAGAACUCACCAUUCAUUCCACCUACCAGAAGACGAGCGGUACAACUUGUACAUGUGAACUCCUAGCAUUCACAAGUAAUAAAAAACCCUCAAGCUUGACAACUUAACUAGCAAGCCAGCAAUAACUUCAGUGCAUGGCAUAUGAAGAUCAAGCUUUUUAACCCUCUUGCAUUUACUUCAAACAUUUCCCCUUUGGAACAAUGCAAACACCACAACUCGUAGAAAGCUUCACACACUCUUGAUCAAGACAGUGUAAAGCAAAACCAAUUUAUGGUGCCAACAAGAGCUUCAUCAAAGGAGUUCAACCACAAUUCUCAAAAGCUUCACACACUCUUGAUCAAGACAGUGUGAAGCAAAACCAAUUUAUGGUGCCAACAAGAGCUUCAUCAAUGGAGGGCAACCACAAUUCUGAAAAGCUUCACACACUCUUGAUCAAGAUAGUGUGAAGCAAAACCAAUUUAUGGUGCCAACAAGAGCUUCAUCAAUGAAGGGCAACUACAACUCGUAGAAAGCUUCACACACUCUUGAUUGAGAUUAUUCGAAGCAAAUUGAAUUUAUGUGGUUUGUCCAAACCUUUGACUACUACAAGGUGUGGCUUGCAUCACAAUCUCUUGCUCAAUAGUGUGGAAGCAAAAUUUGUAUAUGUUGUCUCUCCCAUAUUUUCAAAUUUCUAAUUUUCCCAAAAAAAAAAAGAAAUUGGGAAAUUCAACAAAUUUCUAGUUUUCCCCAAAAAAAAAAAUUGGGAAAUUCAACAAAGCUUAAUUAAUGGAGGACAACUACAAAUUCUCAAAAGCUUCACACUAUCUUCAUCAAGAUAGUGUGAAGCAAAAUCAAUUCAUGGUACCCACAAAAGCUUCACCACAAAAGCUUCACCAACAAAAGCUUCAUCAAUGGAGGAGUGUGAAGCAAAAUCAAUUCAUGGUACACAACAAAAGCUUCAACUCCAAAGCUUCACCUACAAAACUUCACCUACAAAGCUUCAAAUCCAAAGCUUCACCUACAAAGCUUCAACUCCAAAGCUUCACCUACAAAGCUUCACCCACAAAAGCUUCACCCACAAUAGCUUAACCAACAAAAGUUUCUCCCACAAAAGCUUCACCCACCACAAAAGCUUCACCCAUAAAAGCUUCACCAACAAAAGCUUCACCCAUAAAAAUUGCACCAACAAAAGCUUCACACACCACAAGAGCUUCACCCAUAAAAGCUUCACCCCCCACAAAAACUUCACCCACAAAAGCUUCACCCACCACAAAAGCUUCACCUACAAAAGCUUCACCCACCACAAAAGCUUCACCCACCACAAAAGCUUUACCUACAAAAGCUUCACCAACAAAAGCUUCACCCAUAAAAGCUUCACCAACAAAAGCUUCACCCAUAAAAGCUUCACCAACAAAAGCUUCACCCACCACAAAAGCUUCACCCACCACAAGAGCUUCACCCAUAAAAGCUUCACCCACCACAAAAGCUUCACUUACAAAACCUUUACACUAUCUUGAUCAAGAUAGUGUGAAGCAAAAUCAAUUCAUGGUACCCAACAAAGCUUCAACCUCAGAGCUUCACCUACAAAGCUUCAACACCAAAGCUUCACCUACAAAGCUUCUUUGGGCCUAACAACUUUCAUAACACAUAUAUAUGAAGGAGGAGUUUUGGGCUACCACUUAGAAAGGAAAUGCCUCAUUCGUCAACUCCCUCGACCGGAGACUUGGGGGACUCCUACCAUAUGCUACUGCACCUUGAUACUCGGAAGUCUCACGACCACUCAGUGACUUGGAUUUUUCAAGUCUCUAACCGAGAAGUUUUCCUCACUCGGGAAAUUAAGGGAGCACUACCUCAACCUACAUGCUUCACUCACAAAGCUUCAACAUACAAGCUUCACCAAAAGAAAAAAUUCAAAAAACUUAGUGAAGAAGGCUUUGGUGUAUUUAACACUAUACGUUGAAAUGAAACAAAGCUUAUUUAUUGAUAUCUCCGAUAAGUUACAAAUAUGUACAUAUACACGAAUCAAAAUAAACAAACACGAGGGAGCCUUCACAAAGGUUACUCAGGAGAAGUCUUAGCAGUCGGCAGAGCCCCAGAAAGAGAAGGCACCGAAGGGUGAUCAUUCGGAGCCUCAGUACUGGGCAAAACCCCAGAAGGAGGAGGCACUUAAGGUUGAUCAUUUAGAGCUUCAUUACGCGGUACAGCCCUAGAAGACAAAGGCAAUAAAUGCCUUUGGAACAAACCUACAAACCUCUGAUGAUCAAGUAAAAUCUGACCAUCAGAUUCCUGCAGCUGGUCGAGCUUCCUCUUCAUGCUGACCAUCAGAUUCCUGAGGUUGAUCAUUUAGAGCUUCAUUACGCGGUACAACCCCAGAAGACGAAGGCAAUAAAUGCCUUUGGAACAAACCUACAAACCUCUGAUGAUCAAGUAAAAUAUGACCAUCAGAUUCCUGCAGUUGGUCGAGUUUCUUCUUCAUGUUUGUAGCAUAGUCAUAUGCGAGCCUAUGCAACUGUUUAUUCUCAUGCUUGAGCCAUCUGAUCUCCUGUUUGAGACUUAUCACUUCAGCCGCCAAUGAUUCAACUUGGCGGGUUCGAGCAAAUAGGCGGGCCAUAUUAGACACAGAACCUGCACACUGAACACUGAGAGCCAAAGAAUCCUUAAUAGCCAACUCAUCGGACCAUUUGGAAAGUAGUCUGUUAUCUUUGGGAGCGAGAAGGUUCCUAGCCACUACCGCAGUUGUCAUAUCAUUCUUCAUCAUAGAGUCCCUAACGGUAAGAGGACCAGUAGGGGAUAAGAAGAAUGGGCGCCAUAUGUUGUCUUGAGAGGGCAUGGCUGUCUCUUCACCAAAGUUUAACUCAAAACGACGGUCGGAUGGGCCAGACAUUCUUAGAAAUGAUGAAGGAGAAAUGAGGUACAAUAAAUCUCUGAAGUACAAAAAUAAGGGGAAAAUUCCUAAAAGCAAUAACUCUCUGAAAGUACUUCUUGCACAUAAUUGGUUCCCCUAUAAAAGAAAGGGCAACAGGGUCGUUGGUUCAAAAAUCGUAGAGGCACCACUCUCCAGAUUUCGAGAAGUAGAUUUUCCUGAAUAAAAUAUGUCGACAAUCCCCACACACAACAUCAGCUCCUCAGGUACCAUAGAUAAUUUUGCGAAAGAUCUCUGACAAAGUUUAGACAAAUAAAUUUUGAAGGUCCAGCCACCCUACUAUUACCCACAAGGGUAAAGGAACAACACCACUGCUUGAUAACUGGAAAGUCCCUAUGUGUGUCAACCUCUAUGCUCCGUGGCAAGGCAGACUGGCAAAAAUGCCUAACCUUUACUCACAUUCGAGAAAGCCCUCCCAACAAGAUUGCUUGCUCAAAAAUCGAAGAGGCACAACUUUCCUAAUCUCAAGAGCCAGACUCCCAACAGGAUUACUUGCUAAAAAAUCGAAGAGGCACCGCCCUCCGAAACUUGAAAGCCAGACUCCCAACAGGAUUACUUGCUAAAAAAUCGAAGAGGCACAUCUCUCCGAAUCUCGAGAGUCAGACUCCCAACAGGAUUACUUGCUCAAAAAUCGAAGAGGCACCGUUUUCCGAAUCUCAGAAGCCAGACUCCCAACAAGAUUGCUUUCUCAAAAAUAGAGGAGGUACCAUUCUCCGAAUCUUGAGAGCCAGAUCCCCGACAGGAUUACUUGUUCGAAAACCGAAGAGGCACCACUCUCUAAACUUCGAGAGCUAGAUUUCCUUGGAUAAAGCUUGUUUGCAAUCUUCACACGCAACAUCAGCUUUCCAGAUACCACAAACCACUUUUUCAAAGUGCUCUGACAAAGUUAAAACACAUGAAUCUUACAGCUCCCACUACAUUGCUAUGACCGAUAAGGGCAAAAGAACAGCGUUACCACUCGUUGUUGGGACAAUUCCUAUAUAUGUCGACCUUCAUCCUCCAUAGCCAGGCAGACCUGCAAAUAAUAAAAAAUGCCCAACUAUUCUUCACAUCCGAGAGGGCACUCUCAGCAGAGUCUCUCGAAAUACUCAGAUUCUUCCCCCCCCCCGCCCGAUAAUACCUCUGCAAACAAGCCACACCAGAUCAAGAGUAUCUCAUAUCAUCAAGGUUAAAAGCAAGAGUAUCCUAUAUCAUGAUUUUUCCCUAUCUUUUCCUUUGGCAUUGUUCUUACCUGGAAGACAAGGAGAAAGAGAGCAACCAGUCAGCACUUAGAAUCAAGCUUCUAGUCAGGAACUGACUGCCUGGAACCCCUUGCCUGAUUACUUACCUGGCAUUGCUCUCGAGUACUCAUCUUCAACAUCUUAUGCUUCCAGAGAAGAUACCACAUCUGCCUAAGGAACAUAUAAGGCAAGUGAGAAGAAUACAAGGAAGCAUGUGGGGACAAGCGUAACGGAACACGUGCCGAUACAUCCACUACUUUGUUAAUAGCAAAAGUAUCCCAUAUCAUCAGGGUUGAACGUACUCUAGAUUUGAUGGACUUGUUUUGACCCUCAAAUUCUUGAGUCGACCUUAUACUCAGGAGGAAACCAGAAAACCCUCCAGCCCAGUUCAAGAAUAAGCCUAUGGAAAGUUACUUCUUCAAAAGCAAAAGUAUCUCAUAUCAUCUCUUCUCCAUUUGCUUCUCCUUAUCCUUGUUGCUGUUUAUGACACAAGGAGAAGGAGAACAAUCAACCGGAAGCCGAAGUCGAACCUCUGAUCCAGGUUGCUUACUUGGAAAUCUGAUUACUUACCUUGUCUGUUACCUCCUUCGGCAAAUUUCCUAGCUCGGUGACUUAGGGGACUUCUACUGUAGGGUUUGUAUCGCACUUGACCAACCCGAAACUACAAGUAAGCUUCAAGUCAAAUUGAUACAUUACCUUGUGCAUCUUUAUCGGUUAAAGAUACCACCCUUGGAUGGAGGAAAAAUACUUCCAAAGAAGAUGCCACAUCUACAUAUGAGACAGAUAAGGCAAGUGAAAAUGAUACCACACUUCGGUACUUAGAAGUUUCGUGAUUACUCAAUGGCAUGGAUCUUGCAAGUCCCCAACCGAGGAGCUUUCCUCACUCGGGAACUUAGGGGAGCACUGUUAUACCGUCAAGGACCCAAAAGAGUUUCCCUCCAACUAGGAGGCUAAUCACAGCGCGACACGUGUCGACAUCAGAAGCCAAUCAUAUCACGACACGUGUCAACAUUAGAAGCCAAUCACAACACGACACGUGUUAAUGUCAGAAUGAAACUAGAAACUCUCUUCUAUAAAUAGAGAUCAUUCUCUCACAAUAUUUCCUAAUGUCAUUUGUACUAAAUCAUUCACUAGUACUCACUAAAGGAGAGCUUGAAUCUAUGUACUUGUGUAAGCCCUUCACAAUUAAUGAGAACUCCUCUACUCCGUGGACGUAGCCAAUCUGGGUGAACCACGUACAUCUUGUGUUUGCUUCCUUGUUGAUAAGCUCAUAUUUAUAUAUACUUUACAUCAAAUUCACUUGUCUUUUCUUAGUUAGUUCCUUAUAUUUUUGAGCUAUUUACUUUGUUUUUGUGUUUUCUAGGAUUUGUCAAGCAAAGAAACGAAAAAUAGCACAACCUAGAUUUUAAGUAACAAAUUCGUCAAAACUGCCUGUGCAGGUCGGCUGACUUUGGAAGAAAGUUGCGAACAAAUAAAAAUGAAUUAGAGAAUGAACCUUAUAUGCUUGGAAAGCUACGGUGUCUAUUUUCUGGAGCAUUUUGUGGAUUGUUAAUAUCAUUUUUGUAGAAGAAGUUGUGGCCAUUUUAACACUAAAAGGUUCACAAGAGACUGGGCAGUUUGUAACUGCAAUGAAAGCAAUAAACCCAAUAAAUCUAGCAGCCAAAACUAAUGCAGCCAAGAACAAGCCAGGAACAAGCCAGCUGAUACCUAUUCAAAUAUCAGAGGAAAUGAAAAUAAAGAUGAGGAUUAAGUGAGAGUAAUUGGCAUAAAGGCUACCCAAAGAGUUACAAUUGUUUUACCAUUUCCUCUCACUUAUUGCAAUCACUAAAUGGUUGUUAGUAGGUGAGUUAAGGAGAAGAAAAUGGGGCAGCAAGUUAAAAAGGGGAAAGGGUGCAGAUUGCAAGGUUGGAAAAAGAAGAGAAGGGGAAAAAAAAUAUAAAAGAAAGAGGACAAGGCAGCUUUGCUGAAAGGAAGGAAAGGAAGGAGGAAAUCUUGGCAUUCUCUUCUCUCGGUUUUGUCUUCUCAAACUCAUGUCUUUCUUUUGGUUUUAUUUGAUAAUAAUGUGUAACUAAAUUCUUAGUAGUUAGGGCUGUUUUGAAGCCCCGAAUAUGAUUGCAAGUUUGUUAUGACAUUUUGUUUGAAUUACUUUUAUGCAUGGAUGAAAAUUGAUUCACUACUUGUCUCAUUCAUGAAUUCUUUAUGUGUUUUUUACGGAUGCAUACUUAGUAAGCAUAUCUAGGAUUCUAAAGCUAUGAAUAUGUGUGUGCCUACCCUUGUCGAAUGAGGACCUACAUAUGUUGUAGAGUAGUACUUGUUAAUUGCGAUUAACAUGUGAACCAAUUUCUAGGAUAAGUAAGACAACGCCAGUACUUACAAUGCCUUAUGAUGACUCAAACUCUUUUCAUUCUUAAUGAUUUGUACUUGUUAAAUCUAUGAACACGCCAUUCUAGAUUGCAUGCUAGGGACUAAGUUAAAUUGAAAACGCCAUUCUCUUAACAUACUACAUAAGAAAGAGUAAUAGGUUGAGUUCUAACAUUGAGCCAACUUGAGCAUCUUCAUCCGGAAAUAAAAGGAAUUUGAAUGAAACAUAACAUGUUUACAUGAUUAUUUGGUGGUGGAUAGCAAUUCCCCUAACUCGUUUUUCGUAAUUUGUGAACAACUUAAAAUUUGUUUCUGUCCUGUUUUUGUUCAAUUUAAUUUAAAUAGAAAAUCAACUCCAAAAAUCCCAAAAAUUUGUUGAAGUGUAGCUCUGUGUGUCUAGUGUCUUCAUAUAAAAUUCGUAGAAUUUAGGUAAGUGUAAGUUGGUCUAAUAAUUAUUUUUCGGUGGCUGGUCAGUUGGGACAGCAACCAGUUUUUGUGACAUUUUAAGUAGUUAGAUAAAACAAUCUUCUGCAGGAAAGACCCUUAUUUUCAUAUGUUACAAUUGACAAAUCUUAAUGUUAAUGAGGAAAAUCGAUAGGACAUUUGUGUGCUACUUUGUGGUGUGCUUUUAAUCUUAUCAAAUUUUUGACGCCGUGUCGCCGGGGAUUGUUAUUUCUAAAUACUUAUUUUUCUAUUGUUUUCUUUUCUUGCCUAAUUAGUGUUUUUGUUUUUAUUUUUAUUUCAGGUACUCUUCGUAGUAUAUGCAUACUCGAAGGUCCAAGAGCAUUGAUCUUGCUUCCUACGAUCCUGAGCUUGAGCGAACACUUUGGAAGCUUCAGAGAAAAAUCAAGCAGAAGCGUGCAUCGGUGUCUUUACCACCAUCUUCUCCACCCCAUUUGAGUUCUGAAAAGGAGGAAGAACCACAAGAAGGCAUGGCUGAUAACCAUACUUUGAAGGAAUUGGCAACGCCAAAUAAAAAUCAACAACCAUUGUGCAUCACAUAUCCAAAUGCAGAAGAAGGAUUUGAGCUCAAGUCCGGCCUAAUUCACUACUUGCCUAAGUUCCAUGGCUUCUCAACAAAGGAUGCCAACAAGCAUCUCAUGGAGUUUCACGUGUUAUGCUCAGGAAUGAGACUAGCAAAUGUUGAUGAUGAGCAAGUCAAGUUGAGGGCAUUCCCAUUUACAUUAGAAGCUAAGGCAAAGGAGUGGCUUUACAAUUUACCUCCGGGAUCAAUGAACACAUGGAACCAGGUGAAGCAAGCAUUCUUGGAGCAAUAUUUUUCAGCCACAAAAGCUGCAAGCAUAAGGAAGGACAUAUGUGCAAUCCGGCAACAACAUGGAGAACCCUUUGGAGAUUACUAUGAGCGAUUCACAAAUUUGGUUGCAUCUUGUCCUAAUCAUCAAAUUUCAGAGCAUACUUUAAUACAGUAUUUUUAUGAAGGAUUGUGUGGUACUGAUCGUGUAAUGCUUGAUGCAGCAAGUGGAGGAGCAUUCAUGGACAAGACACCAACAAAUGCUAAGGCAUUAUUAAAGAACAUUGCUAGCAAUACACGACAAUUUGGAGGGAGAGAUGAGCUACCUCUUAAGAAAGUUAAUGAGGUAAGUGCUAAUUCUAGUAUUGAAUUAGAAUAAGCUAACUUGACUAAUCUUGUGCAACAGGUUAUGGUGGCUCCAAAACAGGUGUGUGGUGUAUGUUCAAUGAUGGGACAUGCCAUGGACAUGUGCCCUUCAUUGAUGGAUCAAGGUGGUCUUGAGCAAGCUAAUGCGUUAGGAGGGUUUCACGGGCAACAAAGGCAAAACUAUAAUCCAUACUCCAACAACUAUAACGCGGGGUGACGCGAUCAUCCACAUUUAAAGUGGAACAAUCAAGACAACAGACAACAAUCUAUUCCCAACAACUAUAACCGUCCACCUGGCUUCUUUCAAGCAAGUCCAUAGGCACCAUUUCAGCUUCAACAACACCAAGCUCCAAGUAAGUCUCUUGAGGAUUUAAUUGCUUAUUUAGCUAACUCUACUCAAUAUCAUCAAUAGAAAACAGACAAAGCAAUUGAAAACCUUGAGUGCCAAAUGAGUCAGUUAGCAAGUUUGAUAUGGCAACAACACCAACUAGGAAGGUUGCCUAGCCAGACCGUGGUGAAUCCAAAUACGGAGCAGAUAAAUGUUGUGACUUUAAGGAGUGGAAAAGAAGUUUUUGAGCAGUCAAGGAUGCAAAAGAGGACUAGAAAAGAUACAAAUGAUCAAGGGGAGCUAUAAACCAAGAAUCUUGAGCAAGAUAAGGCUUCAACAGAAACUGAAAAGUCUUUUAAAGCUACAGAAUUGAACACAAAAGAUUCUGAUAAGGUAAGUAAAGAAGUUCAAAAUUCAUGUGUCCCUAUUCCUUUUCCUCGUAGGUUUAUGAAGUCUAAGAAAGAGCAAACUGAUAAGGAAAUCUUGGAUACUUUCCGGAAAGUCCAAGUGAACUUACCUGUUUUAGAUGUCAUAAAACAAGUGCCCAAGUAUGCAAAGUUCCUUAAAGAGCUUUGUACGAACAAGAUUAGAUUCAAUGAUCAAGAAACUAUGGCAUUAAGCGAUGAAGUGUCAGCUGUUUUGCAGAGAAAGCUGCCACUGAAGUUGAAAGAUGCCGGUAGCCUUACCAUUCCAUGUGUAAUCGGAGGGAAAGAGUUUGGGAGCGCAUUGUGUGAUUUGGGUGCAUCCAUCAAUUUGAUGCCAUAUUCAAUGUAUGAAUCAUUGAACCUUGGAGACUUGAAGGAAACAAAGGUAGUAAUCCAGUUGGCAGAUCGUUUAAAUAGAUAUCCCAAAGGCCUAUUGGAGGAUGUACUUGUGCAAUUGAAUGAGCUUAUUUUUCCCGCUGACUUUUUUGUUCUUGAGAUGGAACAUGACCCUAUGCUUACUGCACUUCCUCUUAUAUUGGGAAGACCAUUCCUUAAAAUGGCACGUACGAAGAUUGAUGUCUACAAUGGUACCUUAACCAUGGAAAUUGAUGGAGAAAGCGUCAAGUUCAGAAUCUUCAAUGCUAUGAGGUACCCUAAUGAUUUUGAAUCUUGUUUGUCUAUUAAUGUGUUUGACAAUUUUGUGCAGGAUUGUUUAAAUGAAGGUGUGGGGCAAGAUAAUUUAGAGAAAGCGUUAGUGCAUAGCAUUACACAUGGACAUUUUAAUUAUUCUGAGCACAUUGAAGAAGAAUUAAUCCAGACAGUGGCAAUCCUUGAGUCACUUUCACCAAUUUUUGGUAAGUCUUCUUCCUAUUUUAUUUCUCUUCCUACUUCUAACAAAAAAACUCUUCCUUCUGUGAUUCAGGCACCCAAACUGGAGCUUAAACCGAUUCCUGAACGUUUAAAGUAUGCAUUUUUAGGAGAGGAUGAAACAUUACCUGUCAUCAUAUCAUCACAACUCACAGCAGAAGAGAGGGAGAAACUGUUCCGAGUACUGAAGGAUCACAAAACUGCCAUAGCUUGGAGUAUUGCAGAUAUCAAAGGUAUAAAUCCAGCUACAUGUAUGCAUAGGAUUCUGUUGGAGGAAGGUGCAAAACUAAUAAGGGAAGCUCAACGCCGUUUGAACCCACUCAUGAUGGAGGUUGUCAAGAAAGAGGUUAUCAAACUUCUUGAUGUUGGCAUCAUAUAUCCUAUCUCGGACAACAAGUGGGUGAGCCCCGUUCAAGUAGUUCUGAAGCGAUCCAGAAUCACAGUUGUUAAGAAUGAAGCUAAUGAGCUAGUGCCUACACGUGUGCAAAAUAGUUGGAGAGUCUAUACAGACUAUCGGAAGAUAAACAGCACUACAUGCAAGGAUCACUUUCCAGUCCCAUUCAUUGAUCAAAUGUUAGAAAGGUUAGCUGGUCAUUCUCAUUAUUGCUUUCUUGAUGGCUAUUCUGGAUAUAAUCAGAAUGCAGUAGCUCCAGAGGAUCAAGAAAAGACGACUUUCACAUGCCCAUUUAGCACAUUUGCAUACCGGAGGAUAACGUUUGGACUUUGCAACGCUCUCGCCACAUUUCAAAGGUGUAUGGUAAGUAUCUUUUAUGAUAUGAUUAAGAAAAUAAUUGAAGUGUUCAUGGAUGAUUUUUCAAUUUAUGGUGAUUCUUUUGAUACAUGUCUGCAUAAUUUGUCUCUAGUUUUAAAACGUUGCCAAGAAACUAAUCUAGUCUUAAAUUGGGAAAAAUCUCAUUUCAUGGUUUCACAUGGAUUAGUUGUAGGGCCUUUCAUAUCUGAAAAUGGAAUUGAAGUUGAUCAAUCUAAAGUAGAACUUGUUAGUUCUUUACCCCUCCUUACCACUGUCAGGGAGGUUCGUUCUUUUCUUGGACAUGCAGGUUUUUACCGUAGGUUUAUGAUGGACUUCUCAAUGAUUUCUAGACCUUUGUGUUGUUUGCUUCAAAAAGAUGUAACAUUUGAUAUGAAUGAAGAGUGUGUGGUAGCAUUCUAGAAGCUUAAGGAGUUGUUAUGCACGGCUCCUGUGAUCAAACCACUGAUUGGAGUUUACCUUUUGAGUUGAUGUGCGAUGCUUCAGACUAUGCCAUCGGUGCAGUUCUAGGGCAACGUGUCAACAAAGUGGCACAUGUCAUCUAUUAUGCAUCUCGAACACUCAAUGAUGCACACUUGAAUUAUUCAACAAUAGAGAAGGAGCUUUUUACUGUUGUAUUUGCUUUAGAAAAAUUUAGAUCUUAUCUAAUUGGGACUAAAGUUAUUGUGUUUUCUGACCAUGCAGCUUUGAAGUAUCUACUCACAAUAAAGGAUGCAAAAUCGCGACUCAUUCGAUGGAUACUUCUACUUCAAGAGUUUGACUUGGAGAUCAAGGAUAAGAAAUGGAGUGAGAAUGUUGUAGCAUAUCAUCUUAGUAGAUUUUUGCAUUCAAACAUAGAGGAAGAUUUCAUCCCUUUACGUGAGAGUUUUUCAGAUGAGCAAUUGUUUUGAUUAAAGGCUACUGACCCUUGGUAUGCAGAUAUUAUGAAUUACAAGGUCACCAAAAAGAUUCUGGAUGAUUUUACACGUGCUCAGAAAGGUAAGCUUGUCAAAAUCGCCAAAUACUACGAGUGGGAUGAUCCUUAUUUGUGGAAAUAUUGCACUGAUCAAUUAAUUAGAAGGUGUGUCCCCGAAUCUGAGUUUAAAUCUAUUCUAACUUUUUGUCAUUCUUAUGCAUGUGGUGGCCAUUUUGGAGCAAAGAGGACAGCUCUUAAGGUGUUAGAAAGUGGUUUUUAUUGGCCUAGUUUGUUUAAGGAUGCCUACGAGUUUUGUGCAACAUGUGAUCGUUGUUAACAAACAGGUAACUUGGGCCCAAGAAAUCAAAUGCCACAAACCCCUAUUUUGAUUGUUGAGAUCUUUGAUGUGUGGGGCAUUGAUUUCAUGGGACCUUUUCCAUCCUCUAAUGGUUUUCUUUACAUUUUAUUGGUUGUGGAUUAUGUUUCUAAAUGGGUGGAAGCAAAAGCCACCAAAACUAAUGAUUCAAAAGUUGCUUCAGAUUUUAUUAAGAGUAACAUCUUUGCAAGAUUUGGAAUACCUAGAGCAAUCAUCAAUGAUGGAGGGAGUCACUUUUGCAAUAGAACAUUUGAAGUGUUGCUUAAGAAGUACAAUGUCACACAUAAAGUGUCUACAUCUUAUUAUAUACAAACUAGUGGUCAAGCAGAAGUAUCAAACUAUGAGGUGAAGCAAAUUUUGGAGAAAACUGUGAGCCCUAGUAGGAAGGAUUGGAGCAUGCGCUUGAACGAUGCAUUGUUGGCGUAUUGGACUGCCUAUAAGACUCCUAAUGGAAUGUCCCCAUUUCGGUUAGUUUAUGGGAAACCAUGUCGUCUUCCAGUAGAGUUAGAACACAAAGCUUAUUGGGUGAUCAAAGCCUACAACAUGGACAUGAGUAUUGCCGGACAGCAUAGAAAGCUCCCAUUGAAUGAGUUAGAUGAAAUUCGGAAUGAUGCAUACGAGUCUAGUCGAAUAUACAAGGAGAAAUCAAAGGCAUUUCAUGACAAGAUGAUAUCAAGGAAGAGCUUUUCCAUUGGACAAAAAGUUCUUCUAUUUAAUUCUCGCCUUCGGUUAUUUCCAGGUAAGCUUCGUUCUCGAUGGGUUGGUCCAUUUGUUAUAACUAAUAUUUUUCCUCAUGGUGCAGUGGAGAUUCAAAGUGCAAAGACCGGAAGCAUGUUCAAAGUGAAUGGACAUAGACUAAAGCCAUAUUAAGAGUUUUUUUGUGGAGCAUGAUGUGGAGGUUGUACCCCUCCAAGAACCAUCUCCCCUUGGAUGAUUACUCUUGGUACCGUCCGACUGCGAACGUAAAAGCAAGCGCUUAUUGGGAGGCAACCCAAUAUUUCUAUUCAUUGUCUUUUUAUGUCAUUUUCAAUUUUCCAUUUGUUUUUGUUUUCUGAAUUUUCUUGCAUGCUAAACUGACUUAUUUCUUUUCUUUGUAGGAAAAUUUGAUCGUGCCCACCAAUGGAGUUGAUUGCAGAAUUGGAGUUUGGGUGUCAUCGCUUGAUUUUACUGCAAAUUGGGGAAGUUUUCAGUCCAAAUGCUUUAUUUUGUUUUUUUACUAUCUUAUUUUAUUUUUAAUUAUUGUGUAUAUUUUGACAUUGGGGACAAUGUCCAGUUUAAGUUUGGGGGUAAGGAUUAAAAAAAAGUCAUCCUAAUUUGAGUUCUUGUAAAUCUCAACAAGAGAAUUGCUUGCAAUGUAGCUUGGAACUUGUGUUUACCUAUCCUUUCAUUUCUAUAACCCUCUUCCUAAGCCUCAUUACAACCAAAAAAAGUCAUCCUAAUUUAAGUUUUGCAAUUAUGAUUGUGUAGAUGAGAUCUUUAUGCAAGCUUAUGGUAGAUCUUUCACAUUUGAUUCUUUGAGCGAAACACGUUAAACUAAACAUAUGUGUGAUUGAGUGUAUGUCCCGUGAGAAGGCCACUUGUUAGCAUAUGGUGUUUUAAAAAAAAAAAAAAAAAAAAAAAAAAAAAAAAAAAAACUUGAAAUUGCAUUAGCAUGGCUAUUACACACACUACACUUCAUGGAUGAUUAAAAGGUUACUGCUAACAUUUGAAUAAGGAAGAUGAGCUUGGAUUAGCUUAUUUGGUGGUAGCUAAGGUUCUUGAUGAUUUGUUUUCUUGAAUGAAAUUCUAUGAGGGUCACAUAGGGGGAAGCUAUUGUUUUUCAUGUUGCUACUUUUUCAUAUAUUCUUCGUUUUGCUCGAGGACUAGCAAAAGCUAAGUGUGGGGGUAUUUGAUAAGCUCAUAUUUAUAUAUACUUUACAUCAAAUUCACUUGUCUUUUCUUAGUUAGUUCCUUAUAUUUUUGAGCUAUUUACUUUGUUUUUGUGUUUUCUAGGAUUUGUCAAGCAAAGAAAAGAAAAAUAGCACAAGUUGGAUUUUAAGUAACAAAUUCGUCAAAACUGCCUGUGCAGGUCAGCUGAAUUUGGAAGCAAGUUGUGAACAGCUCAAAAUGAAUUAGAGAAUGAACGUUACAUGCUUGGAAAGCUACAGAUGUCUAGUUUCUUGAGCAUUUUGCGGAUUGUUAAUAUCAUUUUUGUAGAAGAAGUUAUGGCCAUUUUAACACUAAAAGGUUCACAAGAGACUAGGCAGUUCGUAACUGCAAUGAAAGCAAUAAACCCAAUAAAUCUAGCAACCAAAACUGAUGCAGCCAAGAACAAGCCAGCUGAUACCUAUUCAAAUAUCAGAGGAAAUGAAAAUAAAGAUGAGGAUUAUGUGGGAGUAAUUGGCAUAAAGGCUACCUAGAGAGUUACAAUUGUUUUACCAUUUCCUCUCACUUAUUGCCAACGUUACAUGCUUGGAAAGCUACGGAUGUCUAUUUUCUGGAGCAUUUCGCGGAUUGUUAAUAUCAUUUUUGUAGAAUAAGUUAUGGCCAUUUUAACACUGAAAGGUUCACAAGAGACUGGGCAGUUUGUAACUGCAAUGAAAGCAAUAAACCCAAUAAAUCUAGCAGCCAAAACUGAUACAGCCAAGAACAAGCCAGCUGAUACCUAUUCAAAUAUCAGAGGAAUUUAAAAUAAAGAUGAGGAUUAAGUGGGAGUAAUUGGCAUAAAGGCUACCCAAAGAGUUACAAUUGUUUUACCAUUUCCUCUCACUUAUUGCCAUCACUAAAUGGCUAUUAGUGGGUGAGUUAAGGAGAAGAAAAUGGGGCAGCAAGUUAAAAAGGGGAAAGGAUGCAGGUUGCAGGGUUGGAAAAAGAAGAGAAAGGAAAAAAAAUAGAAAAGAAAGAGGACAAGGCAGCUUUGCAGAAAGGAAGGAAAGGAAGGAAGAAAUCUUGGCAUUCUCUUCUCUCGGUUUUGUCUUCUCAAACUCAUGUAUUUCUUUUGGUUUUAUUUGAUAAUAAUGUGUAACUAAAUUCUUAGUAGUUAGGGGUUGUUUUGAAGCCCCGAAUAUGAUUGCAAGUUUGUUAUGACAUUUUGUUUGAAUUACUUUUAUGAAUGGAUGAAAAUUGAUUCACUACUUGUCUCAUUCAUGAAUUCUUUAUGUGUUUUCUACGGAUGCAUACUCAGUAAGCAUAUCUAAGAUUCUAAAGCUAUGAAUAUGUGUGUGCCUGCCCUUGUCGAAUGAGGACCUACAUAUGUUCUAGAGUAGUACUUGUUAAUUGCAAUUAACAUGUGAACCAAUUUCUAGGAUAAGUAAGACAACGCCAGUACUUACGAAGCCUUGUGAUGACUCAAACUCUUUUCGUUCUUAAUGAUUUCUAUUUGUUAAAUCUAUGAACACGCCAUUCUAGAUUGCAUGUUAGGGACUAAGUUAAUUUGAAAAUGCCAUUCUCUUAACAUACUACAUAAGAAAGAGUAAUAGGUUGAGUUCUAACAUUCAGCCAACUUGAGCAUCAUCAUCCGUAAAUAAAAGGAAUUUGAAUGAAACAUAACAUGUUUGCAUGAUUAUUUGGUGGUGCAUAGCAAUUCUCCUAACUCAUUUUUCUUAAUUUGUAAACUACUUAAAAUUUGUUUUUGUCCUGUUUUUGUUCAAUUUAAUUUAAAUAGCAAAUCAACUCCAAAAAUCCCAAAAAUUUGUAGAAGUGUAGCUCUGUGUGUCUAGUGUCUUCAUAUAAAAUUUCCUAGAAUUUAGGUAAGUGUAAGUUGGUCUAAUAAUUAUUUUUCGAUGGCUGGUCAGUAGGGACAGCAACCAGUUUUUGUGACAUUUUAAGUAGUUAGAUAAAACAAUCUUCUGCAGCAAAAGACCCUUAUUUUCAUAUGCUACAAUUGACAAAUCUUAGUGUUAAUGAGGAAAAUCAAUAGGACAUUUGUGUGCUACUUUGUGGUGUGCUUUUAAUCUUAUCACUUGUCUCUAUCUAUUUACAUACUUAUCCACACUAGUGACCGGAGCAAUCUAGCGAAGGUCACAAACUUAACACUUUCUGUUGUACCAAAGUCUUCACUGAUUUUGUGCAUGAACAAUGUUCAUAUUACUGAUGUGAAAAUUAACUUAACACGAAAAUUUAACCCUCUUUUGACAACUGUAGUAUAAGUAUAAGUAGGGAUCGUUCUGGACCGGGGAUUAGGAGAGCUUGCUAAUAACCUCUAAACUGACUCAAAAAUAAAAAAGCUAAACUUAAAAAUACUUAACAAGACUCACAAGACUCAAAGCAAACUUAAAAUACUCAAAACAGCUUAAAACAACUAAAUAAACUUAAACUAGACACUAGGAAUGACUUUGGAUGAAAAUUGAUUUUUACUUGAAUCAAAACAUUUAAAAACACAAAUUAAAACAGAUUCUAACUAAUUAGAUACACUCAAGUAAAGGGGGAUUGAGUUUUGGACGAAGUUGAAACAAACAAACAAGUAUGAAAAACUAGACAGAUUGUAAAACAAAUUUGAGAAAUAAGAUGAUGGAUGGGAUAGCUAGAGGCUUUUUCUCCACACGUGACCUGUAUGCAAAUAACUUGAUUUCCAGUUACUUCUUCAUUAAAUUAUGAACGACAAUGCUCCAAAUUAACCGUGACAUCACUAGUUAACUCUCAGAUUUUCCUUGUUUUAUUGGAUUGGAUGGCAUCAUUCUACAACCCAAAACAUUCUUCAAAAGUUCCCCACAUGACAUCAUAAUAGAGAUACAAUCAAAGAUCAUUACGUUUAAUGAAAAUCAUAAGCAUUGACAAAGCACUUGCAACUAUGACAUCAUGUCGCUUAUGCUAGGAAUUGAACUUAGCGCGAUUGUUUAUAAGCGACCUUCACUACAUGUGAAUAUAAGUUUGUAACAAUUAUGUGAAACUUCCUUACAUUCUAGCAACGGAUUUAUGCAUGCCAAUUAAGUGUCGACCCUUAAUUAACAAAUACAAAUAAGUUAUCAAUCAAAUAGUUAAGCCAAUUGCAUUCACGAUUCAAGAGUUCAUAACUGGAAUUUAUCAAAUUAUAUUGCACACAUAAUCAUGGCUUUGAAAUCACCCCUAGCCAAGAGGGGUUUAGCCACUCAUAUUUACAACAAAAUGAAAGGAAAUGAAUUUAAACAUUAGAAAAAAAAGAAAGAAAACACCUAAACGCUCCAACGAUCCAAGUUGGACAGCAAGCACGUCCAAGCACUUUCCUUCCCUUCCUUUGCUACGGCACAAGGUGUUGGUGAGUGUUUGAAGGUUUGUUUGUAUGGAGGAAUGGAUGUGAAGAUGAAUGGAUGCGUUUGGAUGAAGGUUGUGUUGAAAUGGGAGUGAAUGAUCUAACUAAGUAUGAACUAAAUUUAUGUUACUCACACUUCCUUUUAUAGAGGAAGUGCAUGGCAAUGGGAGCAUGGAGUGGUAUAGCAAUUGAGUGCAAUGAUUCAAUGUAAUGAUGCAUGAAAUCUGAAAUGAUGGAGGGAACAAGGAAUGGUGUAGCAAUUAAGUGCAAUGAUUCAAUGUAAUGAUGCAUGAAUCUGAAAUGAUGGAGGAAACAAGGAAUGGUGUAGCAAUUGAGUGCAAUGAGUGGUGUUUGAAAUGAUUCAAAGGUGAAAGUGAAGUGAUGAUGCAAAGCAUGGGGGUAAAAUGGAGUGAUGUUGCAGCUAGAGAACAUGAAUGAUUGUGCACAUGGUAGAGAAAGGAAAGGGAGGUGGAAUGAUGCAACAAAGGAGUCAAUGGAGGGAACAUGGAUGAUGAUGCAUGGCAUAGGAAUCCAAAGGGAGUGCAAUGGUGGUGCACGUCAAUGAUGGAAAGGUGAAUGGUGGAGUGACACCCCUUUGUGGCUGAGAUCUUUGUUCUUUUUACAUUAAUUCUUCUUUCUCUUUAACACAUUCCUAGCCUCUUUAGUCUUCAAUUUCGUCCAUCCACCUUGCUCCAUGCAUGUGCUAUUCAUUCCAAGCCCAAAACUGCUCCAAAAUGCACCAAAAUGCAACUUAUUGCUUCAUAAGGCCUAUGGACCUACAAACACACGAAAAUAGCUUAAAAUACAUAAUUAACUAAGAAAUAACAACAUAAAUGCAUGAGAACAAGCUAACUCAGUCGUUUAAAUAUGCUCCUAUCAAUUACCCAUAUUAAUUUAAAAAUCUGCACUUCGGACUCUUUUCAUUCAAUUCAAGGUCUAAAAGUUUCGUAUUCUUUUUAUUUUUGGUAGAGAUGAUCUUUAUGGGAUGACCAAUGAGAAGUUCAGUUGGAUUUUAGAAACAUAACUCGCAGACCCAUAAAGUGAGAUUAUGUUCUCAAUAGCUGUGUUAAUUCGAAAAUCUGUAUUUUGGGCACUUUUCUUUUAAUUAAGAGUCUAAAAGUUUCGUAUUCUUUUUAUUAUUGGAAAAGAUCUUUCAGUGACGACCAAGGAGAUGUACUGUUGGAUUUUCAAAACAUAACUUGUAGACCCAUAAAGUGGGAUUAUGUUCUCAUUACCCGUGUUAAUUUGAAAAUCUAUAUUUCGCGCAAUUUUCUUUUAAUUCAAGAUUCUAAAAGUUUUGUAUUCUUUAUUUUUGGCAGAGAUUAUCUUUAAGGGAUGACCUAUGUGAUGUACAGUUGGAUUUUCAAACAUAACUCGUAGACCCAUAAAGUGGGAUGAUGUUCUUAUUACCCGUAUUUAUUCGAAAAUCUGUUUUUUGGGUUCUAUUCUUUCAAUUCAAGAGCGUAAAUGUUUCGUAUUCUUUUCAUGUUUGGCAUAGAUGAUAUUUAUAAGAUGACCGAUGAGAUGUACAAUUGGAUUUUCGAAACAUAAUUGUAGACCCAUAAAGUGGGAUGAUGCUGACAUUAACCUUGUUAAUAAGGAAAUCUUUAUUUUGUGCUCUUUUCUUUCAAUUCAAGAGCCUAAAAGUUUCGUACUCUUUUUAUUUUUGGCAGAGAUGACCUUUAAGUGAUGACCUAUGAUAUGUACAGUUUGAUUUUCGAAACAUAACUCCUAGACCCAUAAAGUGGGAUAAUGUUCUCAAUACCCGUAUUAAUUCAAAAAUCUGUAUUUCGUGCUCUUUUCUUUCAAUGCAAGAGUCUAUAAGUUUUGUAUUCUUUUCUUUUUUGGUAGAGAUGAUCUUCAAGGGAUGACCUAGGAGAUGUACAAUUCGAAUUUGGAAACAUAACUCGUAGUCCCAAAUGGGAUGAUGUUCUCAUUACUCGUAUUAAUUCGAAAAUCUAUACUUUGGGCUCUUUUCUUUCAAUUCAAGUGCCUAAAUGUUUUGUAUUCUUUUCAUUUUUUGUAGAGAUGAUCUUUGAGGGAUGACAUAUGAGAUGUGCAGUUGGAUUUUCAAAACAUAACUUGUAGACCAAAAAAGUGGGAUCAUGUUCUCAUUAUUUGUAUUAAUUCGAAAAUUUGUAUUUUGGGCUAUUUUCUUUCAAUUCAAGAGCCUAAAUGUUUCAUAUUCUUUAAGUGAUGACCUAGAAGGGAUGACCUAUGAGAUGUAUAUUUGUAUGAGAUGUAGAAGGGAUGACCUAUGAGAUGUAUAUUUGUAUUUUGGGCUAUUUUUUUUUUUUGGCAAAGAUGAUCUAGAAGGGAUGACCUAUGAGAUGUAUAUUUGUAUUUUCAAAACAUAACUAGUAGACCCAUAAAGUGGGAUGAUGUUCUCAUUACCCGUGUUAAUUAGAAAAUCUUUAUUUUGGGCUCUUUUCUUUCAAAUCAAGAGUCUAAAAGUUUCGUAUUCUUUUUAUUUUUGGUAGCGAUGAUCUUUAAGUGAUGACCUAUGACACGUACGAUUGGAUUUUCGAAACAUAACUCGUAGACCCAUAAAGUGGUAUGAUGUUCUCAUUACCCGUAUUAAUUUGAAAAUCUAUUUUUCAGGCCCUUUUCUUUCAAUUCAAGAGCCUAAAUGUUUCAUAUUCUUUUGAUUUUUGGCAGAGAUAAUAUUUAUAGGAUGACAUAUGAGAUGUACAGUUAGAUUUUUGAAACAUAACUCGUUGACCUAUAAAGUAGGAUUAUGUUCUCAUUACCCGUGUUAAUUAGAAAAUUUGUAUUUUGGCCUCGUUUCUUUCAAUUCCAGAGUCCAAAAGUUUCGAAUUCUAUUUUUUUUUGUUUGGCAGAGAUGAUCUUCAAGGGAUGACCUAUGGAUGUAUAGUUAGAUAUUCGAAACAUAACUCGUAGACACAUAAAGUAGGAUGAUGUUCUCAUUACCCGUAUUAAUUCAAAAAUCUGUAUUUCGGGCUCUUUUCUUUCUAUUCAAGGGUUUAAAAAUUUCUUAUUACUUUUAUUUUAGGCAAAGAUGAUCUUUAAGCAAUGACCUAUGAGUUAUACAGUUGUAUUUUCGAAACAUAACUUGUAGACCCAUAAAGUGGGAUUAUGUUCUCAUUACCCGUGUUAAUUUGAAAAUUUGUUUUUUGUUAUUUUUUCUUGCAAUGCAUAAGCCUAAAUGUUUUGUAUUCUUUCCAAUUUUGGUAGAGAUGAUCUCUAUAGGAUGACCUAUGAGAUGUACAGUUGGAUUUUCGAAACAUGACUCGUAGACCCAUAAAGUGGGAUCAUGUUCUCAUUACUUGUAUUAAUUCGACAAUUUGUAUUUCGUACUCUUUUCUUUCAAUUCAAGAGCCUAAAAGUUUCGUAUUCUUUGUAUUUUUGGCAGAGAUGAUCUUUAAGGGAUGACCUAUGAGAUAUAUGGUUGAAUUUUUGAAACAUAACUUGUAGACCCAUAAAGUGGGAUGAUGUUCCCAUUACCUGUCUUAAUUUGAAAAUCUGUAUUUUGGCACUUUUCCUUUCAAUUCAAGAGCCUAAAAGUUUCGUAUUCCUUUUAUUUUCUGCAGAGAUGAUCUUUAAAGGACGACCUAUGAUAUGUAUUGUUGGAUUUUCAAAACAUAACUUGUUGACGCAUAAAGUGGGAUGAUGCUCUCAUUACCCGUAUUAAUUCAAAAAUCAGUAUUUUGGGCACUUUUCUUUCAAUUCAAGAGCCUAAAAGUUUCGUAUUCCUUUUAUUUUCGGCAGAGAUGAUCUUUAAGGGAUGACCUAUGAUAUUUAUUGUUGGAUUUUCGAAACAUAAACCGUAGACCCAUAAAGUGGGAUGAUGAUCUCAUUACCCGUAUUAAUUCAAAAAUAUGUAUUUCGAGCUCUUUUCUUUCAAUUCUAGAGCCCAAUUGUUUCGCAUUUUUUUUUGGUAGAGAUGAUCUUGAAGGGAUGACCUAUGAGAUGUGAUAGGAGCAUAUUUAGGCGACCUUGUUAUCUUAUUACUUUGCAUUUACUUAGUUAAUUUCCAUUUAUUUUGGUAAUUUAAGUUAUUUUCGUAUUAUUGUUGGUCCAAUUGGUAAAGAUGACAAUAAAUAGCCAAAUGGAGCAAUUGAGAGCAGUUUUCUACUUGGAUUGGAUAACAUGCGUGGAUAGCAUAUGGGUUGGACGGUUUUGGUGUUUAAAUGGUCCUAGAUAUGUGCUAAAAUCUAGAGAAAUUAAAGUUUUGGCUUGGAAGACAAGGACUUACACAAGAAAGAGGAAUUCUAGUUGGAGAGGAACAUUAUCAUAUCCUAUCUUAUCGUAUCUUAUCAUAUCUUAUCCUAUCUUAUCCUAUCCUAUCUUAUCCAACAUUAUCUUAUCUUAAGUUGCAAGGAGGAAUCCUAAUCACAUUCCAACAUUUUCUACUUGAUUCUUAGAGUCCUAAAAUAACUCAAACCACCUAAUCCCUUUCCUCCUUGGAUUUAGCCAUUUCCCCUAUAUAUAUGAAAUUCCAGCAGUGAUUUAGGGUGUGCCAUGCCUACCAUUCAUCCAUUGAAGCUGCUGAAAUUUUCAGAGUUUUUUUUGUUUUUGUUUUAAGUUUCAAUGUUUAUUUUAGAUUGUUUUUCAGUUAUGAUGAACAUGUAUAACUAAGUUUCUUUUUAGCUAGAGAUGAAUUCGAAGCCAUGAUCAUAUGUUUUAUAUAAAUUAAUUGCAUCCAGUUAUUGUUCCAUAAGACAUGAAUGUGAUUUACUUAUCUGCUUUAUAGAGAACUUAUUCUUGUAUGUUUAUUAAGGAUGCAUACGUAGUUUGCAUGCAGGGAUUUGAUGCCAAAAUAUAAGGGAAUUUCACCUAAUCGUUAUGAACUUAUAUUUGUAAGUAGUAAAAGUCACUAGUCAUGAUUGAGUUAAGUAGAUUCUUGGCAGGAGUAUUGUCACAUCCCGGCCCAGGCCCCCACCACAUCUCGGGCUCAACUCCACCGUAGCACGAUAUUGUCCGCUUUAGGCCCCGACCAUGCCCUCACGGUUUUGUUUCUAGGAACUCACACGAGAACUUCCCAGUGGAUCACCCAUCAUGGGAUUGCUCUCGCGUGAACUAGCUUAACUUCAGAGUUUCGAUGGAAAUCAAAGCCAGUGAGCUCCCAAAAGACCUCAUGCUAGUUAGAGAUGGGAAUAUACAUAUAAGGUUUACAUGAUCCAUUUCCCUGGGCGAUGUGGGAUGUUACAAGUAUCAUGCUUUUCAUAGUUACAAAUGCUUUGACAAUGCUUAUGAUUUUCACAUAACUUAAUGAUCUUUGAGAUCUAUCUCUAUCAUGAUUUUCAUAGUUAGGGAACUUGAGAAGAAUAAUUUGGUUGCGUCGCUUAGUCCAAUUCAAUGAAUUUAGGAAAAUCUGAGAGUUAAUUAGUGUUGUUCAUAUUUAAUUUGGGACAUUGUCAUUCAUGGUUUAUAGGAAGAAUAACUGGAAAUCGAUUUGUAUGGAUAUGUUUCAUGUGUGGAGAAGAAUCCUUUAGCAUCCAUCUUUCAUUCACAACUUAAUUUACUUGCUACCAUUUACUUUUUCUUUAAUUAAAUUUGUCCAAAAUCCCUUCAGUCAUUGUUUUGAUGUUAAUUUAACUUAGUUUUCAAUUUAAUAAGUUUAAUUUGUGUUGAUUAGUAUCCCUUCUAAUCCCCGAAAUAGAACUAUCCCUACUUACUCAUACUACGAUUACAUAAUUUAUAGGGAUUAAUUUGUGUGUUAGUUUCUUGUCGAGGAUUAGUAAAAUUGCUAAUCACUCUAUGUUUUGUUUAUUUUUCUUUUGAUAUUUGAUUUAGUUUUAUUUCUUUGAUUUCAGGUACUAGAGAAGCAAGACAAGGCAAUUGCUAAUCUUAAAGCUCAAAUGGCGAGUCUUACUUCUCUUAUGUCGCAGUAUAUCGAAAGGUCCACAAUGCAAAGUGUCCCCACAUUUGGUGUGUCCUAUAGGCAAGGAUAUCAAAUUAAUUAACAUCCUCAAUUAAUUGAGAAUGGAGGUUGGGAUAGUGUCAAUGCUUGGGGUUACAAAGGCCAUAAUCAAUCAAGGAAUGACUUGUUUUCCAACACUUACAAUCCAGGUGGUGAGAUCAUUCAAAUUUUAUUUAGACUGUGCCAUGUGUACCAUUCAUUCAUUAAAGUUGCUAGAAUUUUUAGAGUUCUUUCUAUCUUUGUUUUAAGUUUCAAUGUUUACUGUAGAUUGCUUUUCAGUUAUGAUGAACAUGUGUAACUAAGUUUCUUUUUAGCUAGAGGUGAAUUUGAAGACAUGAUCAUAUGUUUUAUAUAAAUUGAUUACAUCCAGUUAUUGUUCCAUAAGACAUCAAUGCAAUUUACUUAUCUGCUUUAUAGAGAACUUAUUCUUGUAUGUUUAUUAAGGAUGCAUACUUAGUUUGCAUGCAGGGAUUUGAUGCUAGAAUAUAAGGGAAUUUCACCUAAUCGUUAUGAACUUAUAUUUGUAAGUAGUAAAAAUCACUAGUCAUGAUUGAGUUAAGUAAAUUCUUGGCAGGAGUAUCAUACUUUUCAUAGUUACGAAUGCUUUGUCAAUGCUUAUGAUUUUCACAUAACUUAAUGAUCUUUGAGAUGUAUCUUUAUUAUGCUUUUCGUAGUUAGGGAACUUGAGAAGAAUAAUUUGGUUGCAUCGUUGAGUCCAAUUCAAUGAACUUAGGAAAAUUUGAGAGUUAAUUAGUGUUGUUCACAGUUAAUUAGGGGCAUUGUCAUUCAUGGUUUAUAGGAAGAAUAAAUAGAAAUCAAUUUGUAUGCAUAUGUUUCAUGUGUGGAGAAGAAUCCUUUAGCUAUCCUUUCAUCCAUAUUUCAUUCACGACUUAAUUUACUACUACCAUUUAGUUUUGUUUUAAUUAAAUUCGUCCAAAAUCCUCCUAGUCAUUGUUUUUGUUGAUGCACAAAACCGGAGGUCUUGGAACAACGUAAAUCCGACCGUGAAUCUAAGAAAUUUAAAUAACACAAGAUGUAUCGUGGUUCGCCCCAAGGUUUGGGCUACGUCCACACUGAUAUUGUAUUUUUGAGAAGAUUGUGAGGGAGAGAGAGAGCCUCUGUAAUGAAUAUGAAAGGCUUUGAGAGUGAGAGCUUGAGGAGGUGAGGAGGCUUAGGAAUUGGCCUCCCCCAUUGUGAGGGUGAGGAGUCCCUUUUAUAGAAUAAGAGCUCCUCACUUAUUACAUAUUUGCCCCUUCCUUUAUUACAUAACUAUAUUUGAGUCCCCCGAGUAUUUAUACGAGAUCUAAAUACGGAGGCCCUAAGUAUGGUACAAACAGUAGUCCUCCAAGUCUUCAGUCAAGAGAGUCUUUUGGCUGGAGACUUGAAAUUCAGUCCAUGUGUGGGCCAAAGUAACUAGAUGUCGUCUAGAACUGAAUACUCGAUAUGAGCCGGUGCUCAAUCUGAAAUGAUGCUCAACUAGAAGUAGCACAUGUUGCGAGGCUGCUCGGCUUGUGGCUUAUGUUGCCUUGGUUGGCUAGGCUUGUGGCGUUGAAGGUGAGGGAGUUUCUUUUAUAGAAUAAGGGCUCGCUCCUCAAUACAUAAAUGAUGGGCUAGAGUUGAUGCUCACGGCGAGGCGGUUGCUCAGUAGGCAGCGAUGCUCUCUAAUGAAGGUGAUGGAGUCCCUUUUAUAAAAUAAGGGCUCUCUCCUUAGUACAUGAAUAAUGGGUUAGGAGUGAUGCUCGCAGCGAGACGGUUGCUCAGCUAGUGACGAUGCUCUCUAACGAAGAGGGGGGAGUCCCUUUUAUAAAAUAAGGGCUCGCUCCUUAGUACAUAAACGAUGGGUUCUUUCUAAUGAAAGUGAGGGAGUCCCUUUUAUAGAAUAAGGGCUCGCUCCUCAAUACAUAAGUGAUAGGCUAAGUCCCCCAAGUAUUUUUUCAUGAGGCCCAGUUAAGGCCCAAUAUAUGGUACAUAUUGUAGUCCCCUUAGUCUUCGGUCAAUAGAGUUUGUUGGCUGGAGACUUCAAAUUGAACCCAUGUAUGGGCUGAAAUGGCGGUUGUUCAGAGACGGUAUUUGUAUACCCUGCACUUAAGCUUUGUAGGUGAAGCUUUGAACUUUGAAGCUGGAGCUCUGUAAAUGAAGCUGGAUCUCUGUAAAUGAAGCUUUUGAAGCUAGAGCUUUUUGUAAAUGAAGCUUUCGAAGCUAGAGCUCUGUAAAUGAAGCUUUUGAAGGGCAAACAGAAGAAAUGAGCAUGAUGAGCAGGAGGGCAAACAGAAGUUUUCUAGGAUUUGCUGCUGCUUGCAUUUAAUUAGAUCUUGCCCAUCCCCAACAGAAUUCCUUCGGACACCAUCACAGCGAGAGAGAGAGAGCUAAAGCUUAAGAAACAGUAGCAAUUACAAAGAUGGAGAAAUCAGAUCAGAUCUCUGGAUAUUGGUACUGGGAAGGACCCAAACGUGUAUGCUUCCAAGUGGCUGUGAGUUUGGUACUGCAGCGGUGUAAUGGUAUGAUGGGUUUUGCAGUGACUGUGCAGGUGUUUGGUUCUUGGUUUCUGCAAAUUCAUGGCGGAGGUGAAAAAUUGAGAGAGAACCGACAUAACUUUUCGUGUCGAUUUCCCACAGACGGCGCCAAAUGUUGAUGCACAAAACCGGAGGUCUUGGAACAAUGUAAAUCCGACCGUGAAUCUGCAUGAAAUGUAAAUGACACAAGAUGUAUCGUGGUUCACCCCAAGGUUUGGGCUACGUCCACACUGACUGUAUUGUAUUUCUCUUAGAAGUGAGGGAGGGGGUGAGAGCUUUUAAGAGCUUCUGAGGGUGAGAGAGGGGAUCUCAGGCCUAUGAAUUGGCCUUUUAUCAUUGUGAAGGUGAGGGGUCAUUUUAUAGAAUAAGGACUCAUCACUUAUUACAUAUUUGCCCCUUCUUUUCUCACAUAAUUACAUUGAAGUCCCUCGAGUAUUUGUACGAGAUCUAAAUAUGAGGCCCUAAAUAUGGUAUAAACAGUGUUGAUGCAUAAAACCGGAGGUCUUGGAACAACGUAAAUCCGACCGUGAUUCUGCAGGAAAUGUAAAUGACACAAGAUAUAUUAUGGUUCACCCCAAGGUUUGGGCUACGUUCACACUGAUUGUAUUGUAUUUCUCUGAGAAGUGAGGGAGGGGGUGAGAGCUUCUGAGAGCUUCUGAGGGUGAGAGAGAGGAUCUCGGGCCUAGGAAUUGGCCUUUUUUCAUUGUGAGGGUGAGGGAUCCUUUGAUAGAAUAAGGACUCCUUACUUAUUACAUGUUUGCCCCUUCCUUUAUCACAUAAUUACAUUUAAGUCCCUCGAGUAUUUGUACGAGAUCUAAACACGAGGCCCUAAAUAUGGUAUAAAUAGUAGUCCCCCAAGUUUUUAGUCAAGAGAGUCUUUUGGCUGGAGACUUGAAAUUCCGUCCAUGUGUAGGCCGAAGUAACUAGAUGUUGUCUUGAACUGAUGUUCGAUGUGAGGCGGUGCUCAAUCUGAAAUGAUGCUCAAUCUAGAAGUAGCACAUGCUGCGAGGUUGCUCGGCUCGUGGCUUACGUUGCCUUGGUUGGCUCGGCUUGUGGCGUUGAAGGUGAGGGAGUCCCUUUUAUAGAAUAAAGGCUCUCUCCUCAAUACAUAAAUAAUGGGCUAGAGUUGAUGCUCACGGCGAGACGGUUGCUCAGUAGGCGACGAUGCUCUCUAAUGGUGGUGAGAGAGUCCCUUUUAUAAAAUAAGGGCUCGCUCCUCAAUACGUGAAUAAUGUGCUAGAGUUGAUGCUCUCUAAUGAAAGUGAGGAAGUCCCUUUUAUAAAAUAACGGUUCGCUCCUCAAUACAUAAAUAAUGGGCCAAGUCCCCCAAGUAUUUUUCAUGAGGCCCAGUUGAGGCCCAAUAUAUGGUACAUAAUGUAGUCCCCCAAGUCUUCGAUCAAUAGAGGCUGUUAGCUGGAAACUUCAAAUUGAAUCCAUGUAUGGGCCGAAGUGGUGGUUGUUCGGAGGCAGUAUUUGUAUACCCUGCAUUGAAGCUUUGUAGGUGAAGCUUUGCUAGUGAAGCUUUGAAGCUAGAGCUCUGUAAAUGAAGCUUUUGAAGCUAGAGCUUUUGUAAAUGAAGCUUUUGAAGAUGUAGCUCUGUAACUGAAGCUUUCGAAGCUAGAGCUUUUGUAAAUGAAGCUUUUGAAGCUGAUUGACAUGAGUGAUGCUCAUGAAUGUUUGAUUGACAUGAGUGAUUCUCAUAGAUGUUUGUUUGACAUGAGUGAUGCUCAUGGAUGUUUGUUUGACAUGAGUGAUGCUCAUGGAUGUUGACAAGAGUGAUGCUCAUGAAUGUGGACGUGAGUGAUGCUCAUGAAUGUUUAUGUAUGAUUGAUAUGAGUGAUGCUCGUGAAUGUUUAUGUAUGAUUGACAUGAGUAAUGCUCAUGUAUAAUUUGAAGUACUGGGCGUACUUUCGAUAACUUGGUUGGUGGCAUGAAUGAGAGUACAGGUUGUACAUUUUGUCACCUGGUUGGUGGCAUGAAUGGCUAGUUGCCAAAUGAUAUUAGAGUACGGGUUGUACAUUUCAUCACCUAGUUGGUGGUAAUAGCGGCAAGUUGCCGAAUAAUUUUUGGAGUACUGGGUGUACUUUUGAUCACCUGGUUGGUGGUAAUAGUGGCUGGUUGCUGAAUAAUUGUGGAGUACUGGGUGUACUUUUGGUCACCUGGUUGGUGAUAAUAAAGGGUCUCGCUCUUGUGGGCAUAUGGACCUUCGCCCUCCACAUGACAUUGCAGCCCAUUAUUUUGGCCCUUUUUUUUUUGUUUUACCCUCUGAUGGGGUUUAUACAGAUGUUUCCAAAAGAUAAGGAAAAUAAAUUACAUCAUUCUGGUGGGGUGUUUAUUUCGUUUUUCUCUUUUGCUUUCUCUUUUUCUUUCGUUUUCUAUUUUGCCUUUGCUUUUGCAUGGUCCACAAGUCCCCCAUAUGCUGGUUGAUGAUUUUCUUGCUUGUCCCGCCUCACAUGAUUUUCUUGCUUGACACUAAAAUGACAGUUGCUUUUCUGCCAUGCCAUGCAGUUAGGUUUCCCUUUUUGCUUUUACUUUUGCUUUUUUCUGAAAUAUUUUGUGGUAAUAAUUGCAGCUAAAGUGACAGCUGCUUUCUGUAUAUCGGUGAGAACACCGAUAGACUCAACAACACAGUCAGCACCGGCCUCACCCUAUGGGAUCUCAUCUGGGUUCCUAAUUCUGAAAACAGCAACAAGCUUCUCACAGAAGAGGAGGGUCUUGGAGUCCCUGACCUUGAGCUCAUGGUGCUUCCAUGCGCCAUGGACUGUGUUGUACUUGAACAUGUAGGUCGUGUAGUCUGUAGUAAUGAAGGGAUCUUUGACAGCAACAAGUUUCGACCCCGUCUUGAGCCUCUUGCUUGUGACCCAUCUGCCCCGUCGCCUGUCCACGUAGUCUUGUUCCUUCAACGUCUUCUUAUAACUGCUCGAAGAUCCAUCGUAUCGGUUGUUGUACGAGGAUCUCACUCGGGUCUGAACUUUAUUGGACACGCUCAUCUAUCUGUUGUUGGUCGAGGCGCGCCUCCCGCCACAGCCACCAUGGGUGUUCAUCUGCGUGCUGUCGGUCGAAGGUGCCGCCACAGUGUAGCCAUUAGGAAACACGUUCUUCGAUGCGCUGUUGGUCGAGGGCGUCAUCAUGGAGUAGCCAGCACAAGCUGCUCGUAGGCCUCGAGGUAGCCACUAAAGGCAGUUUCAGGUUGGUUGCAGUAGGCCAUCAUGCGAGAGGUUCAAAUUGACCGGCCUGCAGUGGCCGGAGCAGCUUCGAAGAUAGGGAAAUUAACGCUGAAGACGACGAAGAUGGAGACUACUGGUCGGAGACAUUUGUAGAGGAACCGACCAUGUUUAGUCCAACUGCACCUUGUGAUCACCCCCACCCGUGGCAAGCUUAAGUCUACCAGGUUGAACGUCAAUGGAGAAAAUUUGCAUUCCCACAUGUCUAAUCCAACUGGGCUUCUCUGAAAUCAUCUUUGCUACUUAUUUCCAGAACCUAACAAAACAAUACCACCUUUGUGUCAAAAAAGAGGCCAUUUCUUUGAGCGCGUUAACAGAGAUUGAAAAGAUAUUGAGAGAUUGUUGUGUAAGCGAGCCGAGGCAGCGACAUAUGGAUGGAAGCUGUGCAUCAUCUCUUGGUGUUUUGAGAUUUAGCCAUGAGAGAAAGAUUUGUCAUUGUCGUCGUGCAGCAGGAGAUCGCAGAGGGAAAGGCCAUCUUCUUCAACUUCUUGCUGCUGAAAAUCUAAGAAAGUUUCCAUCUUUGUGAUCUGGGUAAUGGUGCGAUUGAUUUAUUUAUGUUACUGGUUGCGUUUGGUAGUGGUUUUUGUAUCCAGAAGCUUUGAAAUUUGCAUAUGGUAGUGGUUUUUUUGGGUUGUGCAGAUUCACGGCAGAGGUGAAAAAAUGAAAGAGAACCGACACAACUUUUCGUAUCGUUUCCCACAGACGGCGCCAAAUGUUGAUGCACAAAACCGGAGGUCUUGGAACAACGUAAAUCCGACCAUGAAUCUGCAAGAAAUGUAAAUAACACAAGAUGUAUCGUGGUUUACCCCAAGGUUUGGGCUACGUCCACACUGAU